ACAACCUCUCUACCUUCCAAGGUAGGGGUGAGGUCUGCGUACACAAUACCCUCCCUAGACCCCACUUGCUGGAUUACACUAGGUAUUGUUGUUAUUGUUGUUGUAGUACUUUUUCUUUUGCUUCUUUUCCUUGGUGAAAGGCAAGGCCUUGCAUGCGGUGAAGUGGAAAGAAAGUCAGUGGCAUCAGACGAGACCAUCCUUAAAUAUGCAAGAUUUUGAUGUCGGAAAUGUCUUUUGGAGCUUAGAUAAGCAAGACUCUGAUGUAAGAAAUGCAUCCUUAAAAUUAAGAUAACUCUAGAUAUUAAAUGUCAUGACCUAUGUUCAGAAAGAAAAUGGAAUACAAAUAUCUGCACCAUAGAAUGUAAGAAAUGCCCUUUUGAGCAGAAAAGGGUAGAAAUAAGCAUGUGACUCAUGCCAUCUUCUCCAAAUGAAUUAUCCAAAAUAAGCAGACUCAUUGGGAAAUCUAGUUGUAUUCCCUAUUUGAUUAGUUGCCCAACUAAUACAAACACAUCAAAAUUCAAAUGGAGCCCUCACUAGAUCUAGAUGGCUAAAAGGAUUUACCUCAUCGCCUUUUUUAAUUCUUUGUCCUGCAUUUAUCAUCACCUCCAGCAUGCGGUCCUUGAAGCGCCAAUGGAAAAAGCAAUUUGGCUGAAAAGAAUGAUUCAUCAUGUCUGGAGGAAGAGAUGAGUAAAGAUUAGAAGGAUUUCUCAUGAAUAAAGCUUGGUUGAGAAUGUUAAGAUUUCUCUCCAUCCACCAAACUUUAAAACACUAACUUUUAAUUGUGUGUUGUCUAAAUAAACCAAUUUAAGCCACAUUUUCACUCUCGAAAUAUUGGAGGACAGAAGUACAACAGAAGAUGCUCACCAGCAUAAGGUACCAACAUAUUUGCAUCUUGAACCAGUGCACCAAUUCUCGUCUGCAAGUUGAUGCAUCGAGAUUGUGCUAUACUCAUUGCCCAAAUAAAUCUCUCAGGAUCCCGAGCAAGACGCUUAAUCUUGAGAGGUACUGCAGAAUGCUAAACAAAUGAAGAAAGUCAAAGGCCAUUGUUAAUGAGCAGGAAUUUGGAGGAAAUAAAUUGAACAAGAUUGUAUGGGAGGAAUUUGGAAGAAAUAGAUUGAACAAGAUUGUAUGUACCCAGUUUUUCUCCCAAAACUCAAGUGCCCGAUGUUGCUGUUCCCUCAUGGUUGAAGCAAGCUUCUCGUCUUGCAACUCCAAAAGAUCCUCCUACAGCACAGAAAGCAUUAAGAAGAAAGAGCGUGCCAGGAACGCAAAACAAGUGUUCAUUAUAACUCUAGAACUGACAUUCUAGAAAUCAGUCCACCAAGUACAUGCCAAAUGCAGCCAUUCCUUGUUUUUGUUUGCAACAGAUCUUUCUGAUCAAAACCAGCCCAGCUGACUAAUGGAAAAUGCAAACCACAGAAGUGAUCAAGCUUCAAGCAUUUAUUGUUUUUCAGUUAGAAAACCCAAAUGGUACUUCAAAUUUAGACUUUUGGUGCAGAAGAAAGUCUCAAUAGACACACACAUUAAAACAACACUCAGUAGACGAAAUUUUUCUAUCAAACAACAGUUUGAAUAUCAUAAAAGCUUUUUUUUUUUCACAUUUCAAGUUACUCAAACUUGAACCUCAGCAGAACAUCAUAACAAAAUGAGGAUUGAUUUUGUGAAUGCACAGCAUUUUCUAUAGAAUCUUCCUCAAAAUAUUACAUUAAUUGAAAGCACCUAAAUUUGGAUAACACUCAUAUCCAGACCUCAGUAGCUAGAAGAAAGCUAGUACAUUCAUCAGCACUAGGCAAGAAGUCUCCAUAAAGCUGCCAAAAGUUGUCCUUGCAAUCAAAAGCAUAUAAAAGAAGACAUGCCAACCUCAAGUCCGAAUCUGUCUGCCAACAAAAGCUGAUCAAUAUUAAAAAAUCACAAGAGAUCUUAGAAUGCCAGACUGAAUUGAAAAAAUCAAAGAACAAACAAAGAAAAAUGCAGAUAAAUAUAUUCCCAUGUGUACGGUGUUGCAUUAGAGAAAAAAGGUAACACUUCUAUUUUUAUUUCUUAACCAGCCAAAGAAAAUGUGGAUAAGUUUUUUCUCAUGUUUACAAUUAGAGAAGAUUUCAAAGGAGAAAAUGCAUCCUUUUACCUCAGGAUUGGUUGAAUUGAUAAUGUCGAAUAUUGGAUGUCCUAAAGGUAUGAUAUCUGGAAAAAACAUCCAAGGAAGCUUUUUGCUUAUUGUUAACAUCAGUUCUAGAGGAAUUUCCAUUAUUACCUGCAUUACAAACAAAACCUCAUCAUUCAUUGACCGGUAAAGAUUUUAAUGAUAACGAAAAGGUGAGAAGAUAAUCAAAGUGAAAAGAGGAAUCAAACAGUCGAGUUAAUGCAAAAUGAAUUAGACACAAUCGAAACUACGUAAGACAUUAUAGAAUACACCACAGCAGGAGAAAAGUUAGAAGUGCCUAGGCACUGACACAUAUAUCUUAAAAGGGCAGCCCAAUGCACUAAAGCUCUUGGGCAGGGUCAGGGGAAGGGCCCGACCACAAGGAUCUAUUGUACACAGCCUUACCUUGCAUUUCUGCAGGAGGCUGUUUCCAAGGCUUGAACUCGUGACCUCCUGGUCACAUGGCAGCAACGUUAGCAACUUUACCAGUUACUCCAAAGCUCCCCUUCACUGACACAUAUACCUUAUGGUGUUAAAAAGCAAAUGAGGGAAAUAAACUUAGGAAACUCAUCCCAGAAAGAAGGAAGGGAGAGUAGAUUAAAGGGCACUACAAUUCUCCCAUGUCCUUUUUUUCCACUUCCUCCAAUUUUCAGGGGCGGAAUGGAUUGGAUGAAGUUCAGCUUUAGGUAUAGCAAAACAUUGAUGGAGCACUGAAUUUGACACUGUGUCCGAUGGUAAAGUUACACAUUCCAUCAGGAGGAGGAAAACGUUCUACACAAAAACAUAGUGUAAGGUAGUGCUCACCCUAGCUCGACGAAGAGGCUCCACGUCUUUGGAAGCAAACACUCCAUACCCAUCUGGCCCCUCCCUGAAUUCAAUUCCGUAGGCUCGAAAACUUCUAACAUAUCCUAUUUUGUAGAAAUCAGGAUCUGCCAGUUCCAACUGUUCAUAUGAAAAUAUUACAUAACCUUCAUCAACAGGAGAAAAUAAGGAUAAUUUGAAAUAAUCAAAAAGAAUAACAAACAGGAAACUAUAUGGUCAUCAGCUUCUCAAAAGAAAAUCAAAGGAUGUAAGACCGAGAAAAGAGAGGGACUCUAACCAUCAGUUUGACUAUGUAACAACAGAGAUGGGAAAUCUAUACAUGCCAAUGUGAAAAUGAAACUGAGCAUUUAACUGAAAAUCUUAAGGCAAUUGGGGAGUAGCUUAAAAUCUUUAUAAACCCUUUGGAUGCCCCUAAAUACCAGAUGUGAGGCAUCCUAUAUAUCCGAAACCCUUCGCCCAAACUUGAAAAGCACACGUGAAUUUGAAUGCAGACUCACGUGUGUGAGAACAGACUUAAUAAUUGGUGAAAAUUUCCGACUUAUUAAACGAAAAUUUAUUCAGUGGGGGAGUAAUACAAUGCCUUUAAAAAGAACAGUUAUCAUGCCCCUAACCUGAUGUAGAACAUUUUAUAUUACUAACAUAGUAAUCACCAAAAAAAUUAUAUGGGACCUGAAAGUAUUCUAUACCUAGACACAAAGAAUUUGUGAAGAAAAACUCAAAUGAGGAACAAAACCAAUUCAAAAGUACGACAAUCUGCCGAUCUUCAAAGUGUAACUCCUAUCUUUUCCAAAUAUCAACUGCCUGGCUAGCACUUCCUUCAAUUUAUUGAGAAACAAGUACUUCAUGUUAUGCGCAGGGUGCACUAAAUCUCCUACUAUGCGUAGGGUUCGGGGAAGGGCCCCACCACAAGGUGUAUUGUACGCAGUCUUACCUUGCAGUUCUGCCAAAGGUUGUUUCCAAGGCUUGAACCUAUGAACUAACUAGUAAAGAAAGAGAAACCAUGUCUAAAAAGGAAAAUGUAUGCAGUGCUAAAACUUAAGGUGUCCAUUCUAGCUGGUUUAGAGGUGAAUUAUGCAGGUAUUAAAUCUUACAUAAGUAUAUCAUGUUUGGUAGUUGGUUAAGAGGUAAGUUAUUCAUAAGUAUAUCAUGUUUGGUAGCUGGUUAAGAGGUAAGUUAUUCAUGUAUAAAAUUAAUAAGGUGUUUGGUUUGCAAUUUAGAAACCCGCAUAACUAACACAUGUAUAAGCUACGCUGGAAUCAUGAUAGAAGGUGGAACAAUUAAUACAUAAAUAACUAAACACGAAAUAAAAUAAUAAUUCCUCAUAACUAAUCCUUGAAUUACUAAUACCUACAUAACGCUAACUAGCUAUCAAACGACCCUUACUGCAGAAAAGCACAUAAAAAUACUGCAGAAAUUAGCACUUAAACAAUGAACUUACCGAAUGAAAACAACACAGAAAGUAAGACGAAGUGGUAACUUCAAGAAGAUGAAAAAAGAGGAAACUUUGGCAAGUAGAAAAUACCUGGGAAGCAGGAGUAUCUUGGGGUUGAGAAGGAGGUGUAAAAAGAGGAAAUGAAGAAGGAGAGGGAGAAGAAUCAUAGGCCUCCAAAGUGGAAGAAGUAGCAGCACCAUUAGCACUUGCACAAACUCUCAAAUGUCUGCUUCUCUUGUUACUAUUACAUACUAAAAUGGGGUGCUUCUGCAAUCCAUGCUGCACACCUCCUCUCCAUAACUGGUUCAAUCAACAAAAUAUCAACACACAAAAAAUUAAAAAAAGAAAAAGAUUCAUUCUUGGAUCAACUCUGGGUGGUGGAAGAAGUUGGUUGGUUGCUGAAUUAGAAUGGUGGAAGAAACCAUUCCUAAAAAUUUAGUGGAAUUUGAGUAUAGAAACUAUUGUUUUAUAUGGAAAUUUGGGUUCUUGAAAACGUUAUCCACUUUACUGUCAGCAAAACAACUGAGAUAGAAUGCUAGGGGUUUUUCCGGGGUUUAUUAGUACUACUUUUUUUCCUAUUUUAUUCCAUACUGCUAAUUAAUUUCUAGGGAAUUUUAUAUACGUAAUUUUUUAUUUACAGUUGAUACCUGAAGUGAGGGGAUAAAAGAAUAGUUGACCGAAUGAGGUUUUAAAAUGUGUUGUCACGGUGGUCCUCAAAAGAAUCGAUGAUGUCGAAACAACACUUCCACUGUGAAAUUGGUGGACGUACAUAUCCAUCAUUAUAUAAAGGAUAAAAUAUUGCACGUACAAAUUUACAUUCACAUUGAUGAAUCAUAUCUUUCAAAUCGUAGUUGUUUUCUAUCACAUCAUUUUGAGCACAGUUUUAUCACAACGUUGCUCUAAGAACCGUGUUCAAUUAACUGACAUGAUCAAAACCAAAAAUUCACUUCUCAAUAAUUAACCCUUCACAGUUUAACAGUAAUAAUUUCAUGAUUUAGUCCCCAAAUUUUUGACGGCAUAAACUCAUUUGGAUAUGAAAUCUCUUUCGUAUUUUUCCUUUACAUUACUAUCAAGAAAUCAUAUGAGGGAUAAUAAAGGAGCUAUCAUCCUCCUGGAUUUGCAAAGAAAAUGGUACUUAUUUAUACUAAUGUAUUGUGCAAAGCAUAGUCGUUCAAAUCAUCUGAAAAGAUCAAAGGAUUUAUACAUCUCAUUCCAACUAAUUUAGGACCAAGACUCAGCUGAUCAACAAAUAUAUCAAUGUUGGACAACAUUCAUUCAUCAGACCAAUAUCUGUUAUGGGGCAACUGCAGUGAUUUUCAGGCCACGCACCGAAAAAUCAAGAACUCAUCCAAUUUUUGCAGAGACCUGACUGAAGAAUUUCGACCAUUUCCACCACCAACUCCACUAUAGUAUCACAUACAAGAUUAUUACCAUAUGACAUGACAUAUUUCUGAGUCUCCAAAAUGAAUGACCAAAUCAUCAACAUCGAAGACGACGAAGGAAACAAUCUGGCUCAACAAGAUCACUAUACACUAUUCACUAGGUAGCUGUAUCCUUUCAGCAGUGUAGGGACCGGAUAACUCUACCACAAGGGUUUAGGCAGAAGGAAGAAACCACCCAACUAUUUUGCCUCUUUUUCAGAUUUGAACCUCAGUCUCCCAUGGACUUUACUCCAACUUCAUCUACUAGGCCAUAUCCUCCAAAGACAAAUAUCUCUACGAAGGAAGAGAAGAAAAACAAAGAGAACUAGAGGUCCUAUAACAAGAAAGCGCCAGUGCUCCAGAAUUAAACUUACUCAUAAAUCACAUAGCUUCAGACAAACAAGUAGUCCUCCUGGUCAAAUUUAUUGUAAAAUUUACCACGUGCAAAAGGAAAUUAAAGUAAGCAACAAAUACGAGUUCAUUAACAACAUCUAGAAGUUCUUAAAACUACAACAGAAACCAAAGGUUAACACAAGUGAUGUCCAUCUAAGUCACAGCUACACCAAGAAGAAUAAACUAAUAAAAACUUCUACCUUAUCUAUGCAAAAUAGGAAAAAUAGAGAAAUCAGCUCUAAACACAUUAAAGAGGUACUGAUGUCAACUUCAACAGAGAGAAGUCCCAUGUAGCUAGAUGACAAAAAUAACCACUGGUGUCUCCAUUUAGUGUGAAAUGAAUGAGCUAAGGACAUAGGGAACUCAAGCCUGCAUCAGAAAUGUGCUUCUGUCCAAAGGUUAAAUUACGUCAAGUGAAGCUGGUUCUCCUAGAAACUUUUUUGCACAGCUAAUGAAACUAAAACCCAAAGAAUGUCCAGUUCAUCUUUUGCUUAAUGUGCAAAUGUUUAAGAACACAGAGAUGCCUGGAAACUAAGAGAGGGCUAUAUAAAAGAGACAAGUCUCAUCAAGUUUCAAGCUUUGUGUACAACGAGCAAGGAGUCAUAAUAAGCAUACUCUUCUACUGGUUCCUGUAAGUAUUUUCAAACCAGCUAUGCAUAUUUCUGUAUUUGCCUCCUCCUUUAAGUGUUGCCCAUUAUUCCCUUUAUCCACAAGAUUCAAAAUUCCGCUCCAUUGUCUUGGUCUUAUGAUUAGAUAAGUUACUACAAUUCAAACUUUUAGAGACAAUGAAGAUUUUUGCAGCAUAUUUAUGCUAUUUUGUGCUUCUGAGUUCUGCUCAAAAUAUCCAGCAUCACCAUACACUUCCAGCCACCAAACAGCCAAUGGUGGUGAGAGAGACAGGUUCUUAUGCAACAAACCUGUUUACAACCUCACAGGCACUUAGAAGUGCAUCUAAUUAACAACUGAACUAAAAACUACAAUUGUGGUGAGGGGACAGGAUACUGAAGGUAUGUAACACAUUCCAAGCUUGAUGGUUAGUCAAACAGACAUGUACAUUUCAAUGGUGAAAGAUAAUAAAACACUUGUAAAGCAUUUUCAAAGAUUAAACCUCUGAUGAUAAAGAAAGUGAAAUUGAACAAAAUAGAGGAGCAAAAACAGUAUGACAUAACUAUCCAUAAUAGGCAUAGAAAAAUAAACAAAGGUAUGCAGAGCAUUAUGCAAGAACAAAAAUAGACAAUAUGACUAUCAGUAAAAAGCUAGUACUGAAAAUGGGCAUUGAAGCUAUAAACAUUAGUUUAUUAGACUAAAAUCUGAUAUUCUCUACAAUAUGACGGAGGAAAUCUGCGCAAAUUUAACUGAUAAUUCAAGAAUGCAAUGCCUAGCAACACAAUUCGACACUGCCAACUUGAGUGAGCUCGUAAUUCAGAAGUGCAAUUACAAUGAUUCAUGCAAAUACUGUAAAAUUGCUCAUUUUUCAGUUCAUUUUAAUCUUCUCCUACAAGAUAGACAGUAGCACCAGUACAACACAAAUAGCAUUAGCCACGAAUAGUCUCACUCAUCAUUAUCCAAAUUAGUUACCUUCUACUCUCUAUUCAAUCCAAUUUGAGAUUAUACCAUCCAACAAAACAACCACUUCCUCAUUUCCCUUAUCACCAUUCUCAACGUCCUUCAAAGCUUCAUUCACCUCUUGAGCCUCCCUAAUCCUAGCCUCCCUCAAAAGACCUCUAUACACCCACAUCCUCACCUCAUCCCCAGCCUUCAACUUCCCAACUACCAUCAUCCUCAAAACCUUCAACCCCUCCACAACCAUAUCACUCUUGCAAAACCCAUUCACCAAAAUAGCACACAACCCAUAAUCCACAACACAAGGGAAAUCAUCUCUUGACACCCAAUGAAAAAUCUUUAAAGCUUUCUUACCCUCCCUUUCCCUAAAAUACAAAGAAACCAACAUUUUACAAAUGGGUAAUAAAAACGAUUGGGUCUUUGGGUUAUACUUAAGGCGGUUAAGGAAGUACAUGGGUUGUGUAAGGUCGGGUUCAAGAGAAAGUCUAUGAAUGAAAAUGGAAAGAGAGAGUGAUUCCAAAGAUGGGUUAGUUAGAAAAGCUGUAGUGAUGAGAUUAGCAGCUUCUUUGAGGUGAUUAGAAGAGCAUAAACGUGGGAUUAGUAGAUUGAUUUGUGUUAACUCUUCUUGAGUUAGAGAAGUUGAUGCAGUUGUGGGUGCUAUUUGGGUAUCAGAAGGAGUAGAAGAAGAAGAUGAUGUGAAAUGCAAAGAACGUGAGAGAAGGGAUGGUGAAGAAAGGAAACGUAGUCUUUGAAUUGACCUCAUGGUUCUUGAUGGAACUGAACUGAUUACAGAUUAUGAUGGAGCAACCAUUAAUGGUGUUAUUGGUGAUAGAAAUACUAGAAACAAUUUCUAGUGGAGAUAAUUUUGAUUAUUUUGAGAAGACUUCUCAUUUCAUUUUACUCGUCUUAAAUUUUUUAUUUUAUAUCUUUUUUUAUUUACAGAAAAGGAUUAAAAAUACCUUUUCAAUAUUAAAAUUAAAUAAAAAAUACCCCUAUUAAAUUAUUGGGUCAAAAAUAUCCUUCAAAUAUUAAAAAUAAUUUAAAAAUACCCUUCCAUCCACCUUUAUAGCUCAAAAACGAUUUUUAAAAAUUAUAAUUAAAAAUUCAAAACAUGGUCAAAAAUACCCUUUAAGUAUUGAAAUUAGUUCAAAAAUAUCAUUCAUCCACCUUUAUGACUUAAAAAUACCCUUACAAUUAACGAUUUUCUUAAAUCAUAAAUAAUUUUUUUAAUAUACGUGGCAACUUUCACUUAGUUGAAACUAAAUUAAUUAAAAUGUUAUAUUCAAUCCGGCCUCAACUCAAGCUUUAAGAUGGGAUGGAUGAUUUUGAGUGGUAUAAGCUUUGUAAUUUAUUUUCUCUAUUUUGAUCAAGAAAGUUAUUUUUCUUAGUUUGAAAUUUAGAAUAAAUAUAUUUUUUAGGAAAAAUAUUUUUCAAAAUUUUUAGUCAAAUGAACAUUUUUUGUUCGCACUGAGCCCACCCUUAAAAGCUUGUAAUGAUUAGGUGAUACUUUUUUCUGGUAGUUCUAGUGUCGACAUAAGAGAUCAUGAUUAAUCAAAGUUUUACAUCAAAAUCUCUUACUUAUUUUUUUUCCACAAAUGACCUUAAAUAAUUAAUUAUCAUUUAACUCGUGUGGAAUUGAUAUAUAUUAUAUUCUUCGUUAUACAAUUUCCUAUUAUUUUAAUUCUCACCUGAAAUAUUAUACCAGUAGAUUGUGAUGAAUCUUUAUAAAGGGAAGAGAAUGUACUCAUUAGUUAUAUUCCCUGCCCCAGAAAAAGUAACAUGCAUCUUUAAGGUUAGAUUUUUACCAUAUUAUAGAACAGUAAUGUCAAAUAAUGAUACUGUAUAUCCUCUAUUUUAAUUUAUUUAUUUUAAUUAUUAUUUACAUAAAAUACUUUAAAUUAAUAAUUAUAUUAUAUAUUUUAAUAGUGCAAUUAUUUUAUGAACAUAAUUUUUAAUAUAUAAAUUUUAUUAUAAAAAAUUAAAAAUUUUAUAUUUAAAUUCACAUUAAAUAUUAAUUAGCUGUAUCAUUAUACUUCGAUAAAAAAAGAAACAAAGGAAUGGAUAAUAGUUACAAGAUUUGACAUUUGCAUGAAAGAGUAAAAUUACUGAAAGUACUGGUAUUUUAUUUACUAUAGAUAUUCUCCAUAAGCAAGAAUUAAAAAAUGCUUUCACAAAGUUUAUAUUGUCUCGUUUUGACGCUAUAUUAAAGCCUAACAUUAUUGACGUUGGGACAACCUUUAUACGUUUUGGAUCGGGUAGCUUGAGUUGGGGUUGGAUUGGAUAUCACAUUUUAAUUAAUUUAGUUUCAACCAAGUGAAAAGUGCCACGUAUUUUUUUUUAUAAAAAUUAUUUAUGAUUUAAGAAAAUCGUUAGUUGCAAGGGUAUUUUUGAGCCAUAAAGGUUGAUAGAUGAUAUUUUUUAACCAAUUUCAAUACUUAAAGGGUAUUUCUGACUCUUUUUUGAAUUUUUAAUUAUGAUUUUUAAAAACCGUUAGUUGCAAGGGUAUUUUUGAGCCUUAAAGGUGGAUGGAGGGGUAGUUUUGAACCAUUUUCAAUACUUGAAGCGCAUUUUUGGCCCAAUAAGUUAACGAAGGGUAUUUUUUAUCUAAUUUCAAUACUUGAAGGGUAUUUCUAACCCUUUUCCAUUUUACUUAUCAAGACAAGACAAUUUUUUUCCAUUAUACCCAUAGUGUAAUUAAUUAUUCCUUAUUAUUAGCAUUCUUAAAAAAUGUUGCAAAGAUAAGUACCAUUAAGAAUACACCAUUAAAAAUAUAAAUAGUGCUUUGGUAUUAGUCAUCUAUCAAUGUUGGAACUAACAACAAGACACAAUUAAGAGAGGCAAAAUGAUAAAAUUACAUUACCAAUCAUUAUUUUCUUAAUAGUUGUGUCGUCCCAAUGUGGGACGGGUAAAGUGGGACGGAGGAAGUAUUAGAUAAAAUAAUGGUGAUCUCUAAAUAUUAAUUGGAAAAAUAAGAUAAUUUUAUUUAAAAAAUGACAUUUAUUCCUUCCCUAUUUGCUUUGCAAUUUUAGUUGGAAAAUACUAAAAUUUAUGCUAUUUUAUCAUCCUAAAAACAAUUAAAGCAAAGGAUACAAUUGAAUGUGUAAUUAAUUUGAUGUACAAACGCUAAUGUUUGAAUUGUCGUGUUAUAAUUUUUCUUCAGUUGUCGAUUGAAGCAACCAUCUAACUUAUGUAUAGAUGGUUCCUAAUACUAUUAAUCAGAGGCUGAAUCAAAAUUUAAAUUAUGUGGUUCUAAAAUUAAAGAAGAGAGGCCUUAUAGUGGUUCAUCUAUCAUUGGGUCAAGCUAUAUUAUUUGUCAAUGAGUUCGCACUAUAUAAAUAUGUACAUAUAUUCAGAAUUUAAUAGUAUAAAUAUAGAAUCUACGUAAAAGUUAUUGAAUUCACCCGAACCCCCUCAAAAUACUGUAGUUCCGCCCCUGCUCCUGAUAUACCUUCUAGGCUAUAAAUAUAAUGUAAUUUCUUUUUUUCUCUAAAAAAUGGAAGAAUCUAUUAUUAGAUUUUACGGUCAUUAAUUUUGCAAUGAGAAGUACGAGACACCGUGAAGCUAGUGUUACUCUCUAAAACAUUUUCUAGCUCACCAAUAUGUUGUCUUUCAACUUAGCAAAAUAGCUUAGGAUACAGAUUUUGUAAAUAUAUUUUGAAUUUUAAUUGCUAUUGAUAAACUAUGUAUACAAUUUUCUUUAAUUAUUCUAAACAUUUUUUUUCGGCCAUUGUCUUACUAUUCAAUGUCAUUAAUAUAUUACUAGUUUAGUGUACGUGCGUUGCACGUGUAUCAAAUGUUUAAUAAUAAUAUUAUAUAAAAACAUUGCUAAAAAAUCACUAAAGAUAAAAAUUAGAUUUAAAUAGUUUACCUGGUUAUUUAUUCUAGAGACGUAGUUGAAGGUAGAUGAUCGGGAUCCGGAUUGAAAGUUAAGUCAACCCUGACUCGAAAUGCUAAACCUAGGAUCCAACCUUAAGUCGAGACCCGACUCUAAACCCUGAUUCGAGCCCUGAAUCCUAGCAUUUGACCUCGACUUGGUACUGUGGUCUUGACCCAACCCAACCUCGAUUCAAGAACAACUUUCGAUAUUAACUUGGGAUCCAACCACAAAAAAAAGCAAGAUCCGAUCUUGACCAGACUCCGGACCCUGGGUCUGACACUAAUCUUGACCUCGAUCUACGACCUAACUCUCAAUUAUCAACCCAUACUCACGGUCCAACCUCAAUCAAGAGUCAGGGUUAGGCAUUGAGUCGGGUGUCGAGGUUGGUCUUAUAUUAAGAGUCGAAUCUUAAAUUAGGAAUCGGGGUUGAGUUCCAACUUAGGAGUCAAAGUCGUAUAAUAUGUUGAGAGUUGAGGCUAGGUUUAUUUUGGAAUUAGGAGUUAGAUUCGGGUCACAAAUCGAGGGUCGGAGUUCGGUCCCUCAUCGGGAUUGAGGUUGGGGUCUUACGACCUAGGUUGGGAGUUGGAUCCCAAGUCGGGUGCAAAGUCGAGUCAAGUCUAGUGUCAGGAGUCGGCUCUCAAGAGACGAAGUUGGGAGUCUAGAGUCGAGGUUGAGUUCUGUAUCAAGAGUCAGAUUAGAAAUCUAGAGUCGGGGUCGUGUCCCAAGUUGAGAAUUGGGUCAGAGUUGGUUCUCGAGUUUGGAGUCAGGGUUAGGUCAGAGUUGAGAGUUGUGGUCAAAUCUUGGGAUUAUACGUGUUAGGUCCAACGUUAGGGUCAGGUCUAAGUUUGGGAGUCAAAGUCGAGUCCAGAUUGAGAGUUAAGGAAAUAGAGCCCGGGUCGAUAGUCAAAUCAUGAGUUGGUACCGAGAUCAGGUUUGAAAGUCGAGUCCUGGGUUGAGGUCAGAUCUUGAAUCUCAGGUCUAGGGUCGGGAGUCAGAUCUUUGAUUGGGUCGAGAGUCAAGUCUUGAGUUUAGGACUUGUAUCUCGGGUUGCGAUGGAGAGUCGAUUCUCGUGUUGGUUCAGGUAGUCGAGGGCUCAGGUUGGGUCCCGUAUCAUUAGUAUUUUUUCGUGUUAUACCUAAAUGUUCUUGGGACGAUAAAUUUUUCUUACUAACCAAAAAACAAAAAAUAAGUAAGAAAAUCAUUUAUUUUUCAAGAAAAUAUUUUUUAGAAAAAUAUUUUCCUUUGUACCAAACACACCCUAGGAAUAGAUCUAGGUUCUCUUAAAAAUUAUUCACUUUGUGUCUCCGACAAAUAGCUUUCAUUAUAUUUAAAUUUAUAUAAAUAUUUUUUAAAAUUAUAUCCGUAUUGAUAUGGGAUAAAAUAAAGGCUUUUUGUACAAAUAUUAUAUUAAAAUAUUGAAUUAAAGCUAUUAAAUAAAAAAAUAUAUUCCACACAUGAGUGUUGAUUCUAUAUACUUAAUUCAAUAAAAUAACCAAUUGCGUCCUAAAAAUUCUCAAUAUAUUAAACUAAAAUUUAUUUUAAUUUUAUAAUUCUAUCAUUUUAAACACACAAGUCAUCAUAUGCUUUUCUCAAUUAAUCAAUUUCAAGAUUUAGAUAUUAAAUAUUCCCUUGCAAUGCUUGUGUUGAGAGCAUAAUGCUAUAUCUUUAAUAUGUGAGGUACUAUAUUAUUUUUCCUUUCAUAUGAUUCGGAGUAUUAUCAUGAUGCACUCUCAAUCCAACAUAGGAAACUAAUGUUCCAUCAUCCUUAAGAAUUGUGCAUUCUACCUGAUCAAACAUCAUCAACUAAUAUGAGAAUUUUUACUUUUUAAGUGAAAAUUAAAAGUUUUAGCUCUUCAUUAAUAUAAAUAAAUUUUAAAAAAAAUUAAUUUAAAAGACUCUUUUCAAUUUUGAUAUUCAAACCAAGAAUACAAUCCUCUUGACGGAAGUUACAGUUGGUGGCAGCAAGAGCAUUUAUGGUGGAAAUUAUAUUUACUUUGUGAAACUUUACUCUAUAUCUUUUUCUUAUAGUCCGACUCAUUUAUCUUGACUACCUUGUUUAAUGAUUUGCAAAAUGUUGUAAUACAUUCCUGUAACAACGUAUAAUGGUUAUAAAAUCUUAAUCAGUUAGAUGAUUGCAUCUUCUGUUGCUUUAUGUCAAUUCGAACAAGUACUUAUGAAGUUGGAUUUUGUUAUAAAGUUGAGUGUUUCCUUGGGCUUUGUUUCAAAUUUCUCAAUCAAUGUGAUAAUAACAAUGAGAGUUGUAUGAAAAGCUGUAUUGAAUACUAUUGCACUAUAGGGAAAACUUAAGAAAAGCAUUAAUUUGCUCUAAGAAAUCAUGGCGACAAAGAAAGUGUUGUUCAUGAUAGAUGAUAUUAGUUUUAACAUAAAUACUUAUUUAAUGAAUCUAACAAAAUUAUACAUAUAAAUAAUUAAAAUUUAGUUCACUAAAUAUAACUUAAGAAUAUUAAAACAAGAUAAUUAUGAAGCAAAAUUAUGCAUAGCUCUCUCGACACAGUUCCUUGAAAAUUGUCAUAAAAAACACGAUUCACAUCAGAGUAUGUGUCAUCCACUUUUGAUUCCCUCACUACCAACUCAUAUCUUUGUUGUCUGGGAUCCCCCACUUGAGUCACAGAAUUAGCAUAAGCAAUGAAACCAAAUGUACUAGUAGAGUCCAACAAUAUUAGUGCUUCGUGUUCACUGUAUAAUCGAUCAGAGCCUUGAACUUGGAACUUAUUACAUAAUCAUUGUUCGUGUUCACUGUAUAAUCGUAGAAUAUGAAAACUUUUGUAAGGAUUCAAAAUGUUUGAAGCAUAUAAAAGUUUAUGGGAAACUUAUUUAUAAUCUUUAUAUUACAUAAGUUUAUAACAUGAAAAUCAUUGAAACUCUUGGAGAGUUUUCAAGAGCAAUAGAUUAUUUGCUGAAAUGAGAAAUAUAACAAUUUGAAUUGGUUAUGAAGUACCAUAUCUUAGUGCAAUUGGUGCACUCAUGUAUCUUGCAAUUACUAUAAGGCUUGAUAUAGCCUUUUCAGUUAAUUUGUUAGCAAGAUUGUAAUCCCGAUCUUAUUGGCCAUGCUAAUAUUGGGUACUUGUCUGAACCGUAUAAAUCUCGAUCUCAAAUAUGCAAUGUGUUCACAUGUGGGGAUAUGUAACACCCCGUAUUCAAAUACAUAUAUUGGCGUAUUCAAGUACGUGUAUUGGUCUUAUUUAUAUGGAAUUAAUUUUGUUUAAUUUUAUUUAUACCGGAAUUUGCCCGUCGAUGGUUCCAUAUGAAGGUUAUUGAAUAAGCUUUCCAACGAUAUAAAGAUUUCCAAAAACGGAUAGGUUUCGGAUAUAAUCGAGCACGUUCUAAACUAUAAAACGGUGGCCGGGAAAUUACGUGCAUUAGUCAUUGUUAUAUGUGUUGGGGUAUAUGUAUUGAUCCUAAGUUAGGUAUAUAUGAGUUUAAGUAUGAGUAUUGAUUAUUUUGAGAUGGUUUCAAGUGUAUAGUUUGAUUAUAGGUGUAUAGGAAUCGACUUUAUUUAUAUCGGAAUUUUCCCGUCGAUGGUUCCAUACGAAGGUUAUUGAAUAAGCUUUCCAACGAUAUAAAGAUUUCCAAAAACGGAUAAGUUUCGGAUAUAAGCGAGCUCGUUCGAAACUUUAAAACGGUGGCCGGGAUGUGAACAGUAAAAUGUGCAGGAAACUACUGAGGCCUGCCAGUUUUUUGGGUCAACUUUGAACGAUCAUAACUCCCUCAAUAUAAUGAACUGGUUGAGCUACCAUAUAUCAAAAGAAAGAUCUUUGAGUCUUCUUUCCAAUGAAAUUGGUUUCAUCCAAAUCCAACAUCUGAGUAAGGAGUUAUACUCGUUUUACUUCAGCCUCUCAAAACAGAUUUUUAGGGUCAACUUCAAACGAUCAUAACUACUUGUACAGGACGAACUGGGUGGAUUAAUUUAUAUUAAAUGAAAUACCUUUGAAUUAUCUUUCUAACGAUACCAAUUUCACCCAAAUCCGAUAUCGGAGCAAAGAGUUAUGGCCGAUUUACUUUAGCCUAUCAAAACAGUCCACCAUGGACAGAUUCGGAUUUACUUAAAUUUUUAAGGGCAAUAUGGUCAUUUUCCAUCACCUCAUGGACGAAAAUUGGUCAUUAUAUACAUAUACUUAGCCUUAUAUCCACCAUUUAUCAUCCAAAUCAUUGAAGAAUAAGAAACCCUAGCCUAAGUUCAACUCCAAUUAUCUUGUGAUUCAACCGUAGAAAAUCCAAAUUGAUUCCGUAGUUGUGUUCACCGUCUCAAGGGCUUCGAGAAGCACCCCUUAUUUGUGCCAACAGGACUUCGAAAUCAAAAGGGCCAUUUUUUUGGUAAGGAUGUAAAUUAUGUUGGUGUUAUUUAUAUGGAUAUGUAUAUAUAUAUAUAUGCAUGUGAGCAUAAGAAGUAUGUUAUUUGAUUGUUGUUGAAAGAUGAUUGGAAAUGAUGUUGGAUUAUUCUUGUGCAUGGUUGGAUUAUGUUAAAUUGUGAAGGAAUUUGGGGUGAUGAUGUGGUAUUGAUGAUGUGGUAUUGAAAUGAUGAUUAUAUAUAUAUACACACAUAAACCUAUUGUUCAAGUUGGUUUUUGGAAUGUUUUGCAAAUAUUGGUAGUAUGGAAUUAUGGAAGAGAAUUGUGGUGUUGGGUUGCUAAUACUAGAUGCCAAACAUUUCAUUGUAGAUAAGUGAUUUGUAAAGGCGGGAAGUUGUGUUGAAUUGGUAUCUGAAUCUACAACGAGGUAUGUAAAGCAUACUCUAACAAUGUUCUUUGGCAUGAAAACACCAAUGUUCCAUCAAGUAAGAUUCCGAGGUUGUCCAAAAACAUGUAUUGUUCUACGUUACCAACGAAGUUGUUUCCAUUCUAUAAAGUGUCAAAAUGUUUCAUUGAUAUACCAAAAGGCUCUUAUUUCAUUGUUGUGAUAUUGAUGAUUCUGAAACACAUUGUUGAUGUACCAAUGAGUCUUUAUUACAUCGUUAUUGUAUAGAAGGUCUAUUACUUGGUUCCUAUUGAUGUAUCAUUGUUUCAAAGUAUCAAAAAUGUGGUGGCGACCGAAAUAACAAUCUCAAAGAUUAAUUGAACUAAGUGAUGGGAGUUCUCUCUUAUCGGGUGGUAUCCCAGGGGCAUAAGCCUAGCAUGGGUCGAUCCCUAUUUCAUGUGUUUAUGGGUGGUAUCCCAGGGGCAUAAGCCUAGCAUGGGUCGAUCCCAGUUGAUAUGUACUGGAGGCAUCCUAAUGGUCACAGUACAGUACAGUAAUGAUUACAAAGACGAUAAGAACGAAGGUAAAGUGAUUGAAUAAAUACAAUGUACAGGUUGUCACAAGUUCUAGUAAGUGUGGUCCACUCCUAUUACGACUUAUUCACUUGUUUCUGAUUUCUAUUGAGCUCCUAUAUCAUAUGUGAUUAUUUACAGCUUUACAUACUCAGUACAUAUUUCGUACUGACGUCCCUCACGGGGGACCUGCAUUUCAUGCUGCAGGCACAGGUGCUUCAGCUCAUUCACAGCAUACAUAGGAGCCAGGUCAUACAGCUCUUGUUGGUGAGCUCCAGUUUGCUUCGGAGCUUUCCGAGUCGGUCCUUUAUGUUUUGUUAUUGUACAGGAGUCAUGUGUGGGCGGGGGGUUUGUCCCGACCCUAGUUAUGUCAUGUAUAUCCUAGAGGCUUUGUAGACAUAAGGAAGGGUAAAGUCAUGGAAGUUUAUAUAGUGAUGUUAUAUUUGUAUAUGUGGUGGCCCCGACGGCCAAGUAUUAUAUAUAUAUAUAUUUGUGCGUGUUGUGCUGAUACAGGUAAUUAGACCCUUCUAUAUGCAACGAAGUGCUGUCCAAAUUUUUGGUGACAUGUAAGUGAAAGUACAGGUAUUUGAACGGGUUCUCCCGGGCCUUCUCGGUUUCGGGUGUCAGUCCGGCCCGAUGGGAUUUUGGGGCGUGACAGGAUACUGUCAUAUCUUGGAGAUAUACAAAGCAGUCUAUCUAUCCACUUCAAUGAACCAUUCUGAGAUAAUAGAAUGUGUAUGACUGAGAUCCAUGAUACAUCUCAUUCGAGAAUAAUAUCGCUUGAAAUAUGACAAAGUAUCCACGAUUUUAUACGAAAAUAAUCCAGCAUGCAUAACACAACUUAAAAGAGGAUUCAUAAAAGGAGAUAGAACGAAGCACACUUCAUCAAAGUCUUUCUAUACACAUGAGUUACAAAAGAAUGGUGAUAUUAACGUGCAACAGAUUCAUUCGAGUGACAAUAUCACUGAUUUAUUCACCAAGUCUCUUUCAACUGCAACUUUCAAGAAGAUGGUGCACAAGAUCGGAAUGCAAAGAUUCAAGGAUGUUCUCAUUAGGGAGAGUUAAUACGCGUUGUAAUCUUUUUUCCUUACGAGGUUUUGUCCCACAGAGUUUUCCUUGUAAGGUUUUUAAUGAGGCAACCUAUAUGUGUAUGAUUAGAGAUGUGUACUCUUUUUCCUUCACUAAAUUUUUUUUCCUACUAAAUUUUUUCUAAUAUGAUUUUAACGAGGCACAUUAUCUUUUUUUUUUCUACUGGUUUUUUUCUAGUAAGGUUUUAACAAGGCACAUUAUCUAUCAAUUAGACAUUCAGGAGGGAGUGUUAUAAAUGUAUUUACAUUAUAAUGAAUGUCUAUCAAGAUCUAAAUGAUAUCUAUUAGGAUUUGAAGCAUUUGUCUUUUACUCACACUAGGAGUAACUUUUCCUUAUAAAUAGAAGGGCUCCUUCAUUGUAAAUUAAUCCCGCAAGAAUCCCUCAACAGAAAUAACAAUUACUCUCUAUAUUCUCUUUAUUCUUAGUUAUUUCAUAACACUUUGUGAUUUCAACUUCACUUAAAAUAAUAAUGAAUUGUGAAAUGCAUUUUUAAAAAUUAUCUAAAAAUAAUUUAAAAAAAAAAAAGAAAAGAAAAAAGUUCUCAUUUUUAGAAGAAAUAUUUUAGAACUUUAAACUAAACAACUCAAACUUUAUAUUAAUAAAUAAAGUUUUAACAACAAUAUCCAAAGUUAUGCAUUGCAAAUAAAUGACUAAUAUCUUAUUAACUAAAACUAAUAUUUACUUUUAUUAAUAAACAUAUUAAUAUGUGAAGUUAAAUGUUAUGUAUUUUUUAAAAAUACUAUACCAAAUAGUAUUUUUGUAUGUAUGUCUAUAUAUACAAGAUUCGUAUUAAAAUUUUACUUUAUGCCACUAAUUUUAUUGAGAUGAGAAGCCUAGCCUUUGCCUAAGUAAUUAUUACAAUUUGCAUAAAGCUAUGUGAAUGUGUUAUUUAUUAACCCGUAUCUCAUACAUAGCCACUUAUUGUGGUAUGGAGGUGCAUUAUCAUAACUGGUUUCGGCUCAUACAUAACAAUUAUCACUUGAUUCCUCUUUAUUAAAGAAGUAUCAUAACUGGUUUCGGCUCAUACAUAACAAUUAUCACUUGAUUCCUCUUUAUUAAAGAAGAAAGGAAGAGGACUUAUACACUCCAUAGGCGCCUCAAGUGAAGGGCAUUGAAGACAUUUUGCACUCUAAAGCUACACUCAAGAAGUGCUUUUUGGGAAUUUCAGACAAGAAAGUAGGAGAACUUAUACACUCCAUACACCUGAAGUGAAGGGCAUUGAAAACAUUUUGCAUAGCUACACUCAAGAGGCGUUUGGGAGUUUCAUUAAGGACAAUUAAGUCUUAUGUAAUAGUAUAAAUACAUAUUUUAACUCUUAUUUUCUUUAGUUUUGAGAUAAUGAAUUGAGUGACUUUUUAGAUUGUAAUUUUAGUGAUAGAUUGCAGUCUUCCUCUUCUCCUUAAGAGAGAGGGAAACCGAAAUUGAAUAUUGAAUAAGGAGAAGGAAAAUCGAAAUUGAAUAUUGAAUGCAAUUGAAAAAGGAUUUAACUUGUAUUGAAUAUUUGGUAAGAAAGGUGUGCUUGAGGAAGUGUGAGUCCUUUGGGUCACCUAAGAGAGUAGUUUGAUCUUACAUUGGUGAUGUGUGUUUGAAGGUUUGAUACACCUUCUAGUGCUAUUCAUUAGUAGAAGUGAGGGUCUCUACUAUCUUUACUUUAUGCAUCUCUUCUUCAUCUCUUUUCUUCUAUGUGUGUUGUUUUUCCUUUCGUGUGUUUGCUGAUUUUUGCCUUCUCUUUGUCUGCUCACUGUUCAGCAUAUUCUCUUUGUUGUAUUCAUUCAAACUUCUCUUUGUCAAUCAGUUUUAGUAUUUUACACAUUGAUAGGAAAGCUUCCUCAAACAUGAGAUCUCUUACUCUUGUCUCAUCUUUCAGAAACAAUUGGCGUCUGCUGUUGUUCCGAGUGUCAAAAGAAAAAAGUAGUUUAAGUUCUUGAUACUGGUCCCUGCUGAUGGAUAUACUUAACCUGUUGUCUAACUUAUUAGUACAACUUUUUAUGCAUGAUUUUUGCAUUCACAUCAUAAACAUUUGUGGAUGGCUUCUGGCUACAUGGAUUCUACUCUUAUGAGAUCAAUUCAAUUAAAUUUUGAUUUUAUAUACAUUUAUCAUUUGAUAGGAUGCCUUUGCCUUCAUGUUUAUACCCCACACUCUUAGCGAAGACCUACAUUUUGUCUUGACAGGGAUGGUGCUAGCUAACGUGAGAGGGAUCUACGUUAUACAAAAUACUUCGGUCUGAUAUAUGUGGACUUCAAGAAUGGGCUAAACCGACAUCUGAAAUCUUCUACUUACUGGUUCAUGAGAUUCUUGAAAGGUGGACAAGUUAAACAUGUUUAACUAACUUCUGGUGUUAUGGAGUCGGCAGCUUAUAUAUGUAUUUGCCUUUCUUUAUACUACUUUUGAGGCUUUUAUAUAAACAACUUCAUUGUUUUAUGAUGGUGUGCAUCAUGACUUCUCUUGUUUUGCUUCAGUUGAGUUGUCCAAUUUCAAUGUAAAACGACUAUUUCCUGUUCUUCUUCACAUGAAUAACACCUACACCACAGAUUAAUGAAGAUAAUAAUAAUAAUUAACUAAUAGUAGUAGAAGUUUUUAUAGUAAUAGUAGUACAUAAUAUGUGUAGCAGUAGAAAUAACAAUACCAAUAAAUACCGAAAUCUUAAUCUUCUCUUAAGCCACCACAAGGGGAUUUAAAAAAACAUAAGCUUAAUGUAUUCUAAGGGCCUCCAGAUGAGUACCUCCGCCAGAAAAUGAAAGCAUUUAUUGAAGCACCAAGAGAAAAGAGCAAACAAAUAUCAAAGAUCUACCUAAGGAAUAAAUCCAGUUCUCCAGCUACGUAGAAAAGAAAUAAGGUUACUUAUGCUCCUGUAUUUCAUGAUGAAAUUUUGAAGAUGAAUUUCACUUGACAGAUUGAUCAUAGUUUCUUCUUUCAUAUCUGGAAUAAAUUAUUUUUCACACAUAAUGAACAUGAACAAUAUAAAGGAAAUUUCAACUUCUCAAUCAUAAAUUAAAUAAAAUGUCAUGCUAACGAUAGAAAGUAAUUUUUCAUAGAUAGUAAAUUACGAUUCAAAUGAGUUAGUGAUGAAUUUUCCUAUUGAAAAAAGCAAAAGAGUAAUGAUAAAGUGUAGAGUCCAUAUAAAAUAUUUUUUCAUCUAAUUAUAAAAAGAAAUUCGACUUACAAGAUAUUAAGUACUAAACAGAAAUAUAAUUCACAUAUAUGCUCAGUUACAUCCUAUGUUCACAGAUUAUAGUCAUGUUUCCAAAUGAGAGCUUGCUUUGCGACCGUUGGGAAGAACUUUUCCAGAGAGAAUAGCAUUAGAUUUGCCCCUAAUUUAGUUUAUCAUGCUGCUUAGGACUUUUGCUAAAUAACAUAACAAACUCCCAAUGAAUCCCUUUCUUGAAGCAUAAAAGGGAUAAUAGUCCGAAAAAUACUUAUAUUUUGCUUAAAUUUGCAGUUGCGCAUACUGAACUUAUUUUAAAAAUGAAAUUAUUUGCUCCCCAGAUACUGAGGUGGCAACGUGAAUGCACACUCUCUUUGAGAGACUGAAAACGAAAAUUAUAUAUUAAAACUUUAUUUUUAAUAUUUUUAUACAUAAAUAUAUAUAAUUUCAAUUUAUUUUUUUUUAUUCAGUUUCUUUCUUCUUCUUUUCUCUCACAAAACUAAAAAGCUUCAAAAUUCAUCAAUGUUGUCUAAAAUUAAUCUCACAUCUUCUUCAUCGCCAACGAAUCUCAUCAAUUUCAUUUUCUUUUUUCUUUCAACAUAACACAUUUGCCAUGCUAGCUUUUGAUUAUUUUUUAUUUUAAUUUUCUUUUUCCUAUUCAUCAAUGUUCAAAUUAACAUUUUUAUGCUUUCAUGGCUUUACCUCAAAUCCAGCCUAUAACUUGCAAGCCCCAUUUAAAUUCUAGUAAUUUCUUAGUAAUCCCUCAAUCUAAUCAACCUAAUGUGUUUUCCUUCUAAAAAAUUUUGACCAAAAAAUGACAAGAAAAUAACAACUACUACUCACUCCAAAUACCAAAAAGCCCAAUUUCUACUCGGCAUUGUAUCAAACAUUUGUUGAGCAUAAUCUAACAUUCAUUUCUUCCAGAUAUUUUUCGAACUAUUAUCCCAAAGAUAAACGAAUACAAUUUCUACUGUAUAAGAAACUUACGAGGUAAGUACACAGUACAUGAUCUAUCAAAAAGCAACCUCGAACUGGAAAAAAAAUGUAAAGAAUCUGAGGAACAUCCUUCUCAGAAUAUUUUUGCUUCUCACUUCAAUCAAUUGGUAAUGAUUUUUCACACACGUCUAAAGAGUGUUCAAAACAAAACAAAUCAACCUAAAUACAUCUUACAAAUAGAUCAAAAAUGAUCUUUUCUUUUACUUGCGGUGUAUUUGCUAUCUGAAGGAACCACAUUCCCUUUUCUCCUCCUUUUGCUUUUUUCUAGGUCUGCUCCUGUCAGAUAUGCAAACCUGCACAGUACGGUGAAAUGAAAGUGGGUUGAUCAUAAGAUAGUAACAGAAGAAAGAGAAGAAAAUCCCAUGAUCAUAGGAUAAAAACAAAAAGAAUAUAAGCUUAUUUUAAGCACGAUUAGUUUGGAGCCCUGGGAUUACACCUUCACCCUUCCCUUCGCGAGUAGUGGUCAAUUUAGUCCAGGCCCGCCUCCCCUCACCUAGCCCGGACCCGGGACCACGCUCAGGUCCGAGACCGCCCCAGACCCGAGACCAGGCCCAGGUCCAGGCCCCCCUCCCCCCCGCAGGACCACGCCCAAGUCCGGACCCCCACCCCCUNNNNNNNNNNNNNNNNNNNNNNNNNNNNNNNNNNNNNNNNNNNNNNNNNNNNNNNNNNNNNNNNNNNNNNNNNNNNNNNNNNNNNNNNNNNNNNNNNNNNNNNNNNNNNNNNNNNNNNNNNNNNNNNNNNNNNNNNNNNNNNNNNNNNNNNNNNNNNNNNNNNNNNNNNNNNNNNNNNNNNNNNNNNNNNNNNNNNNNNNNNNNNNNNNNNNNNNNNNNNNNNNNNNNNNNNNNNNNNNNNNNNNNNNNNNNNNNNNNNNNNNNNNNNNNNNNNNNNNNNNNNNNNNNNNNNNNNNNNNNNNNNNNNNNNNNNNNNNNNNNNNNNNNNNNNNNNNNNNNNNNNNNNNNNNNNNNNNNNNNNNNNNNNNNNNNNNNNNNNNNNNNNNNNNNNNNNNNNNNNNNNNNNNNNNNNNNNNNNNNNNNNNNNNNNNNNNNNNNNNNNNNNNNNNNNNNNNNNNNNNNNNNNNNNNNNNNNNNNNNNNNNNNNNNNNNNNNNNNNNNNNNNNNNNNNNNNNNNNNNNNNNNNNNNNNNNNNNNNNNNNNNNNNNNNNNNNNNNNNNNNNNNNNNNNNNNNNNNNNNNNNNNNNNNNNNNNNNNNNNNNNNNNNNNNNNNNNNNNNNNNNNNNNNNNNNNNNNNNNNNNNNNNNNNNNNNNNNNNNNNNNNNNNNNNNNNNNNNNNNNNNNNNNNNNNNNNNNNNNNNNNNNNNNNNNNNNNNNNNNNNNNNNNNNNNNNNNNNNNNNNNNNNNNNNNNNNNNNNNNNNNNNNNNNNNNNNNNNNNNNNNNNNNNNNNNNNNNNNNNNNNNNNNNNNNNNNNNNNNNNNNNNNNNNNNNNNNNNNNNNNNNNNNNNNNNNNNNNNNNNNNNNNNNNNNNNNNNNNNGUCCUCCUCCCCGGUUUGGACCCGGGACCACGCCGAGCUCAAGGCCUCUCACCCCACCCCCACCCACCCACUCACCCUGCUAAGUAUUAGAGAACUAAUAUAAAAAUAUAAGAGUCUCACCUGCAUUAAUUUAACUGCAAAACUGGAUUUAGCUCCAUCAAUGCUUUCAAAUAAAGAUCCUAAAGAACAUAAUAGAUGAGAAGAAAAAUCAGAAACGCAUUGAAGCAUGUGAGGUAUUGAAAACUACAAGGAAGUCUAAGAAAAGAAGUCAGGAGAUUUGAUUUUGCAAUGGAUCUGUAGAUUAAUACUUACCAAAUAUGAAGUAAAUAUCAUCAACAAUCACUUCUUAUGCUAAGUUCUUCAAGUACAUCUGAGAAGGAUUCCCAGCAGAAUAAUUCCGCAUAGAAACUCAUGAGUUAAUCAUUCAGUCCUUUGUUUGCACUAAUAGUUCAACAUAGAAGGAAAUACCUUUCGUGCUUGUACACGGACUGUGAUGUCUAAGAGUUCAAACACAAACUUGCUACUUAGCUUUUCUCAUUAAUAGAACUUUUGAUGAUUAAGAAGUGAACAUGAUAACUUAUAGACUGGAAAGAUGCAAUCUUAAUGAACUUCUGCAGCAAAUAUUUACUGAACAAAAACAUUUCUUAUCAAUAAACCAGAUACUACUCAUAAUGAAAGGCUAAGAAGCAACAAUCUAUAAGAAAAAGUAGGUUGUAUGAAGCAUGAAUGUAUCUCAAAGCUCAUGAACGUAUCUCAAAACAUGGUGUCACUGACAAAUGAUAAUGGCAGCAGACGCUAAAGCAUAAUGCUAGAAACGAGCAACUGGGAAACUAUAUCUCACUGAUACCUCUUGGUUUGACAACAUAAACAGAAGUAAUUGCAUCAGUAUGGCCCUCUAGUAGAUGCGUACAAGAUCCAGCAGCCUUCUAUAUUCUGAUUAGCACUAUCAAAAGUUAGGUUGACACAAUAACCUUAAAAGAAAAGGCGAGUUCUAAACCAAAAAAUGCAAUUAGCAUAAGAAUAAACAAUCAGUAGGUUAUCAUCCAAAACCAUCAUAACAUCCAGUCAAAACAAACCUCAGAUCACAAAUAAGCACAUCUUGUCAGUUAAGGCAAUAGUGGAUUGUAUGCAAAGAAGACCUUUUUUACAUUCUUAAUUGUCACCAUGUAAUAUUUUAGGGGCAAAAGCACAUGGAGGAUGAAUUUUACCUCAAAACACUUGGAAAAAAAACAGCAUAACGUAAUAAUAUCAAAAACAUUGUCCUUAUUAAUCUAGUGUGUAAGAGAUAUGUAUGAGUGAAGUGAAUGCGCAACAGACCUGGAGUACAAGGUACAGAGAUCAAAUAUCCAGAGAAAUGAAACCAUUUCAUUUAGUCAUAUUAUGCUAGCUCUCUAUUUAUCUAUUUAUUUGGGGGUGGGGGGUGCGGCGGAUAAAACCAAUACAUUAAACAGAGAAUGAUAUACAAGGCAUUAAAAAUUACAAGGAUGACACUGAUAUUCUAGAUAAACAAACUUCACACUCAUGCUUACUUAGAAUUAGAACCAUCAACAGCACUAACCCAGCAUACUUAUCGAAGAAGAAGAGAAGUUCACUUACAUCGUUAAACAUUUUGAUAAUCUAUGAAGAAUAUUCGAGUGGAAAUUAAAGUGAGUUUAGAAGAUAUUUUUGGACGAAAAUUGAGGGAUAACUGGAGAAUGAGAAAGAGAAAGUACAAAGGGAAAAGGAUCAGAGUAGAGCUUUUUCAAAUUUAACCUAGAGAAGUUCUCUGUCUUCCAAGUAAACCUUACAGUCUGGGGACCUCCGAUUGCAGAUUUUCCCCAUCAUGUCAUGUUUCUACUGCUGCUAGCAAGUCAACAUGGAGAAACCAUCAGAUCAAAACCUCUAAAUCCAGCUGUAAAGAACAUAGACGUACAUAUUGGAUAAGCCAAUGUACAAUCAUCUAAGAUUUAGUUUAAUUUGAAAAUUGUAGCAACUUGAAAUGAAGAUGCAUGGCGUAAGCCCUGUGGUGAAGCUGCACUACACAACCUUUCUCAUUACCAUAUCUCCAACAACAUCAUCGAUAGCACAGUCGUCCAAAUGUUACAUAUGACUUUUGUCCACCAUCCUUUAGAUAUCCAAUGACGCAGAGAUGCACCACAUUAUUAAAGCUCAUCAAAACAUACCAAAGUGGCUCUGCACAACCAUUGUACUAAUAUUCCAAAAGGUUAAGUAAACAAAUCUCUUGUGAUUGCAAACUAUUAAACUAAAGAAUAAGUUAUUCAAGACAAUUAUUCACUUCCCAACAUUUCAUUGGACAACAAGCGAAUCUAAAAUGUGAACAUACUUACAUUAUCAGUCAACUUUCCAUAACAUGGAUCCUAUACCGCAAACUUAUAUUUUAAUAAAUUAACAUAUCAAUGCCUAGUUUAGCAUAGUUCAGACUCCAGACACAACAUUUAGUAAACAAAAGGAGUCAAAAUUAUCAGUUGUUUUAUUUCUCAUCCUUCAGUUAUUUCUGCCUGACUAGGCAUUCACGAGUGCCAAUGUAGCAUGAAUGAGUAUUUUUCCCUUUGAAUAACCUAUCAAGUAUCAACUGUAUAAACAUGGGAAAUGUUCCACUAAUCCUAUAUACGCCAUUCUUGAAAUAGUAAAACACAAAUAAAUUGCUUCUUUUUCUUCCUCACAUUUCUUCUUUUUUCUUUUGAGAAAGGUAAAAUACUUCCUCGUGUUUCUUAUUACCUUUUAGUAUCCCCUUUGAAUAACAUAUCAACCGUAUAAACAUGGGAAAUUUUCUACUAAUCCUAUAGUCCCAAUUCUUGAAAGAGUAAAACACAUUGCUUCUUUUUUUCCCUCGCAUUUCUUAUUACCUUUGAAUAACCCAUCAACAGUAUAGACAUGGGAAAUGUUCUGCUAAUCCUGUAUGCCACAUUCCCGAAAUAGUAAAACACAAACACACUGCUACUUUUUUUCUCAAAUUUCUUGUUACCUUUGAAUAACCUAUCAACUGUCUAAACAUAGGAAAUGUUCUACUAAUCCUAUAGUGCCCAUUCUCGAAAUAGUAAAACACAAACACAUUGCUUCUUUUUUUCCCCCUCAAAUUUCUUAAAUCCUAUAGUCCCCAUUCUUUAAAUUGUAAAACACAAACACAAUGCUUCUUUUUCUUCCUCACAUUUCUUAUUACCUUUGAAUAACCUCUCAACUGUAUAAACAUGGGAAUUGUUAACUUAUCCUUUAGUCCACAUUCUUGAAAUAGUAAAACACAAACACAGUGCUUCUUUUUCUUCCUUGCAUUUCAUAUUACCUUUGAAUAAUAUAUCAACUGUAUAAACAUAGAAAAUGUUCUACUGCUCAUAUAGUCCACAUUCUCGAAAUAGUAAAAAACAAAUACAUUGCUUCUUCUUCCUCGCAUUUCUUAAUUGAUACAAACACUUCCUGACGUUUCUUAUUACCUCUGAGUAUGCCCUUUGAAUAACUCUAUCAACUGUAUAAACAUGUGAAAUGUUCUAAUAAUCAUAUAGUCCACAUUCUUGAAAUAGUAAAACAAAAACACGCUGCUUUCAUUUCUUUCUCAGUUUCUUUGAGAAAGGUAAAAUACUUCCUCCGUUCUCGAAAUAGUAAAACAGAAACAGAUUCCUUCUUUUUCUUCAUCACAUUUCUUUUUUUUUGUUUUGUUUUUAGAAAUGUAGAAUACUUCCGCACACUUCUUAUUUCAUUUGAAUAACCUAUCAACUGUAUAAACAUGUGAAAUGUCCACAUUCCUCAAACAGUAAAACACAAACACAUUGCUGCUGCUUCUUCCUCACAUUUCUUAAUUGAUACAAAUAAUUCCUCGUGUUUCUUAUUAUCUCUGAGUGUCCCCUUUGAAUAACCCUAUCAACUGUAUAAACAUGCGAAAUGUUCUACUAAUCAUAUAAUCCAUAUUCUCAAAAUAGUAAAAUACAAACAGAUUGCUACUUCUUUUUCCUCGCAUUUGUUAAAUAAUACAAAAAAAAAAAAAACGCUUAAUUAAUUACCUUCCUUAGGCUGAGGACCUUCUCAUCAGACAAAUCAGAACGUGGAAGACAUCUCCUCAUCUUCUCGCUACUCCGACAUAAACACACGAGAAAAAAAAAACAGUUACAAAAAUUCACAAAGUACAAAACCCUAAAAUUAACAAAGAAUUAGUAACAAUUGUAAGGCAAUUCAAUUGUAAGAAUUAUUAUACUUAAACCGUUAAACGUUUUGAUAAUUGAUGAAGAAUAUUCGAGCGGAAAUUGAAGUGAAUUUAGAAGAUGCUUUUGGAAGAAAAUGGCCCGUGAAAAUUGAGAGAUCAACUGGAGAACGAGAAAGAGAAAGUAUAUAUAGAGGGAAAAUGGAAAUGAUAGAUCCUCCAAGUUUCUAAUUAAGAAAAGGUAAUAAGUGGUCCGGCAAAUAAAUUAAGUCAUUGAGGCAGUUAUUCCAUAAUUAUAUUAGUUAUUUGAACAACUUCUUUCAUUUGUCAAAUAACUAUGUUUAGUUGUUCAAACAGCUGCGUUCAAUUGUUGAAUAAUUUAUGCAGUUGUUGAAUAAUUUUAUAAAAUUAUCGAACAACUAUCAAAGUUGUUCUACAACUGAAAUAAGUUGUUGAAAACAAAAAAAUCUUAAAAAAAAAAAAAACUCAAAAAGGAUUUGUCCAUCCCACCUAAUUUUAAAAAUUUGAAUGACUCCCACUUAAUUGGAUAACUUGUUCGUCCUUUUUAAUCCAAAGUCCCCUGCUAUAGUAGUAAGAUGGAACAAUGGGAGGGUAGUUUAGUCAUUUAAGAAUAAUCUUUUACGUAUUUUUUUAACGGUCAAAUUUUUCCUAUUUUUAGCCUUUGAUGUGGACCGUUGGAUGCAAUUGAUUGAGCUGUUACUGAGCGUUGGAUGUUGUAUGUAAUAAUCUGUUGGCUUGCCCCCUAGUGUAUCAUUUAGAAUUUACUCCUAAUUCUUCAAAAUUAUGUAAAUAUAAGGACAUGUGAAUGUGGUAUAAUAAUUUUUAUAAGAUUUUCCAAUUUUGUUAAAAAGAAUUUUUAGAUUAUGAUUAAAAAAUUCAUAAUUGUAAUAGGAAUAAAAUUUGUCAUUUACUAAAUGAUUAUAUGGUUUAUAUCAAAAAGAGCUAAUCAGCAAAAAAAUUUUAGUAAUAACCGGUCUAUUACUAUUAUUAGUGUAACUGCAUAUGCCCCGCACAUAUAAUAUUUGAUUAUUUAAAGUUAAAUAAUUUUAUUUUUUGUGAAGUUUUUUAAUAAAGUGUAAAAAAUUUAAAUCCGUUAUAAAAUAAGAAAGAAUAAAGAAUAAAAUAAGAAAGAAUAAAGAAGAGUAGAGAGAAUAGAGAGAGUAGUUCUUAUUUCUUCUUUUGAGGGAUGAGAGAUCAUCAGGUUGUAUAUACAAUGAACAAAAACUCUCUAUUUAUAGAGAAAAUUUACUCCUAAUCUGAGUAAAAGACGGAUGCUUCAAAUCCUAAUAGAUAUCAAAGUAGAUUUUGAUAGAUCUUGAUAGACAUUCACUAUAAUGUAAACACAUUUAUAACUCUUCCCCUUGAAUGUCUAAUUGGUAGAUAAUGUGCCUCGUUAAAACCUUACUAGAAAAAAUCCAGUAGGAAAAAAAUCUAGUGAAGGAAAAAGAGUACAUAUCUCUAAUAAUACGCAUUUCGGCUGCCUUAUUAAAAACCUUACAAGGAAACCCAGUGAGACAAAACCUCGUAAGGAAAAAAAAGUACAGCGCGUAUUAACUCCCCCUAAUGAGAACAUCAUUGAACCUCUGCAUCCCGAUCUUGUGCGUCAUCUUCUUAAAAGUUGUAAUUGGAGAAGACUUGAUAAAUAAAUCAGUCACAUUGUCAGUUGAACGAAUUUGUUGCACGUUAAUAUCAUCAUUCUUUUGUAGCUCAUGUAUGUAGAAAAGUUUUGGCAAAAUGUGCUUCGUUCUAUCUCCAUUUACGAAUCUCUCUUAAGAUGUGCUAUGUAUGCUGAAUUAUCUCUGUAUAAAAUUGUUGGUAGAUUGUCAUAUUUCACACCACAUUUUUCUCGAAUGAGAUGUAUCAUGGACCUCAAUCAUACACAUUCUCGGCUUGCUUCAUGAAUAGUUAUUAUCUCAGCAUGAUUCGAUGAAGUGGCUACGAUAGACUGCUUUGUAUAUUUCCAAGAUAUGACAGUAUCCCCACGUGUGAACACAUUGUAUGUUUGAGACCGAGAUUUAUGCUGGUUAGAUGAGUACCCAACAUCAGCAUGACCAGUAAGAUCGGGGCUGCAAUAUUUAGAAUAAAAUAAACUCAUGUAUCUUAUUCCAUUUCGAUAUCUCCUAGUAGAAGUAGAAAUAUAUCUUGCUAACAAAUUGAGCGAAAAGCUAUAUUGGGUCUUGUAGUUUUUUACAAGAUAUAUGAGUGCACCAAUUGUACUAAGAUAUGGUAUCAUAACCAAUCCAAAUCGGUAUAUUUCUCAUUUCAGCAAAUAAUCUUAUUACUUUUGAAAACUCUCCAAGAAUUUUAAUAAUUUUCAAGCUAUAAGCUUAUACAAUAUAAGGAUUAUCAAUAAGUUUCCUAGAAAGUUUUAUAUUUUGAAUCCUUAAAUAAGUUUUCAUACAAAUUUUGUCGGAGUGAUAAUAUUCAACAUUUUAUGUGUGACAUGCAUCUUCAAGUGUCUGGACUGCAAAUCAAAUAAGUUUUCACUUACCAAGAUGCAUCCUUUCAUGUCACUUAAUAAAUGUUUCUAUGUCAGCAUGCUUAAAUUAAUGUAGAAUUAAGAUCCUCGUAAUCUUUCACAAUAUUGCGUCAAUAUUGUGUCAAAGAUAUUGAUGAUGUAUCAUUUAGUAUCGGUUCACAAUGCGACAUAACAUUUUGAGAUCUCAUCACUUCAUUAUUUUCAGGUACAUGAACAUCUCAUAAGGUUUCAUGAAGUGUUAUGUCAUAGGCUCUUCAAGAGUUCAUUGCCUUCUUAUUAUAAUUAUUUGCUCCUUAUUUUUCAAGAAUUAUUUCAUUUGAAAUCGAUUAGUCUAUCACAUUUCACGCAUACAUAGACUUUGUCCUUUAAGAACACAAAAUAAGAGCACUUGCGCUUAAUAUGAGAUGCUUUCGACAUUUGACUUGAAUUAUCUUUUGAAUGAGGAUUUGAUGAUAAUUCCUAACAUACUUCAUAGCUGCUUAUAAUCUCCCCCUUAUGCUAGGAAAGCUAACAUACAUCCUCCAUUUUCUUUGAUGCAUCUAUCUUUGUGCAUCAUGGUACAUUCAUUAAUCGUAUAUCGCACAUCAAAACUAUUAGAUAGAAUAGUUGGUUCAUGACCUUGAACCAAUUGAGGGGAAGAAAUAAUCAUAAUUUAUUGGUCUAAUGCAUACAAGUGUUAUUGUAUGCAACAUGUCAUAUUUCAGAUCAACACAUGAAGCUUUGUUCUCAUUAGCGAUGGUUUAGCUAUUUAUCGAAGGCAUUCAAUGCCAAACCAUCAUCAUCAAGAUAACUUUCUUGAUUGCACAAUAUGAAAAUUAUGUUCCUUAACUCAAUUUGUUGAGCAAACAACUUUAUGAAUGUCAAACUGCAGGUUGACAAUGAAUGUACAUGUGAUCAUCUUAUUGAUGCAUCAUUUUAACAUAUCACAUGAUAGAUGAACGGGCUCUUAUUCGCCUUUUAAAAUUUCCAAAUUUGAAGGGAUCCAAUCCCAAUAUUAGUUAGUCCAACCAACUUAUCAUGAGAACAAACGACAUAAACAAUUUUUGAAGAAUCUUCUAGUUCUUCAAUAAAUGCACAUCUUUGAGAUGUCACAAUCGUUCAUAUCAAUUCAUGAACUUUUAUUCUAGUAAACUCCAAGUUUACCAUGACAUGUACUUUUUCUUUAGUAAAUUUCAGAUUUACUAUUACAUGAAUAAAUUUUAAAUUUAGUACAUCAGAAGUAGAUUUCAAAAUUAUUCAACCUCUUUCGGAGGUGAGUUGUGAUACAAUCACAAUCAAGUUCACAUUUGCAUUAAUAAGUUUCUCAUUCCCUAUAAAUGGAAUAUAAUCGUGCCUUAAGCCUAUCAAAUUAUGAUAGCUUAUAACCUCUUUCAAGAUUUUGCUACUUCAAAAACAAACCGAGGCAUACAUAUGAUGUAGAGAAUUUUUCUCUAGCAUAUCUUAUAAUCAUAUAAGCGUGUGAAAAUAUUUGAUGAUCAUUAUUAUAUUCGUGCAUUCAAUCACUUAUCUUCUUUCAGACAUAUUAUGCACUGCUACCACAUACACCUCAAGAAUGAAGUAAGUUGUCAUAUUUCAAACUCAUCAUAUAUUGCUACCACAUUCACUUCAUGGAAUGGAGCAUAUUCAAUGGGUCGAAUUUCAUAACUUUUCACCCAAUACCCAUUAUUUUGUCUUAGCCAUCACAAUAUCAUCAAGGGAAAAGGCAUCGUUUCUACCCCAAACUAUACCCGAAAAGUCGAAGCCACGCCUAAACUAUACUAGUGACCUAUUACACACCUAAACUAUAAAAAAGUGAAACCAUUUACACCCUGUCAGGCUACCACCACUUGCAUGUGGUGUAGUGUUUUACACGCGCUGCCACGUCAGCACUACGUCAGUAAAAAGUAUCACUUUUUUAUAGUUAAGGUGUGUAAUAGGUCACUUAUAUAGUUUAGGUGUGGAUUCGACUUUUCAACUAUAGUUUGGGGUGGAAACAAUGACUUUUCCCAUAAUGUUUUUAGUCGUUUACUUUUGUUAUUUAAUAGGCUGGACGCGCCUAAAAUAAGUGUAAUACACGCCUUAUAAUGGGGGUUGCGGGGAGGUAAUAAUAUUUAUUUUUUAUAGUUAAGGUGUUUAAUAGGUCACUAGUAUAGUUUAGGUGUGACUUAGACUUUUCGGGUAUAGUUUAGGGUGAAAAUGAUGCCUUUUCCCUAUCAUCAAUAUGGUGUAUUGAGAUUCAAACUCAAUAUUUUAUCCAUAUAAAGGCGUCUUAGGCAUAAAUCAAUGGAACUUGAACCCAAAUAUUACUAUCCCUUUUGAUAAUAUUCUUCUUGAGGAAUGAAUUUAAAACAUAAAUGGUUCCAAACUAAUUAUUUUUCCUCAAAUCCAACAAUAAUUAUAUCAUUAAUAGAAAAAUACGAAUAACAUAAGGAAUUACUAACCUUGACCUUUAGAUUUAUAAUCUCACCUUAUUGGACAGAGUCUCGUGCUGAUAACGUAUUAUGAAAUAAGAAAGAAUAAAGAAGAAGAGUAGAGAGAAUAGAGAGAGUGGUUCUUAUUUCUUCUCUUGAGGGAUGAGAGAUCAUCAGGUUGUAAAUACAAUGAACAAACCCCCUCUAUUUAUAGGGGAAAUUUACUCAUAGUCUAAGUAAAAGACGGAUGCUUCAAAUCCUAAUAGAUAUCAAAGUAGAUCUUGAUAGAUCUUGAUAGACAUUCACUAUAAUGUAAAUACAUUUAUAACAAAAUCACUUUUCAAAGAUCCAUUGCAUUUUAAUACGAUAAUGUAAACAUAAAUAAAUAUUUUAGUAUAAGCAUAUGUAUAUUUUACCACCACAAGUUCCAAAUGAUUGAUGGAUAUCACUUUUACGUUUGUAAAUUGAUCAUAAAUUCAGCCUUAUUCGUUUUGCAUUUGUUCUAGAACCUAGACUAAAGCCUCAUUUGUAAUUAUUAAUAUUCAGACAUCAAAAUUCUAAAUACAUAUCUGAAUAUUAUGUUUCAUUAACUGUUGAAUGAACCCUCGAUCACCUGUGGUACCCAAUAUUGAACAAAUGACGCUCAUCUUGAUUGUGCUCUUCAAAAUCAUUAAUUUUAUCAUUGAUGCCAUGACGUCCCUUGAUGUCUCGUUCAAUGUGUACGUCAAACAUCUGCUCCCCUUCCUAUGCAUUGUUCAAACAUGCAUUUAAAGUGUAUUAAAUACGUGUAAUGCAAAACUAAACAUUCAUAUAAUGCAAUCGCAAAAACUAAAGGAAAAUGUCAGAAACAUAAAACUAAAAAGUUACCUUCAAAUUCAGAUUUUCAGGCUGCCUCCAGACAACAACUUAAUUUCAUUUAAUAUUUUCUCAAAAUAUAUGGUUAUAACAUUCUUCAUAGCUAAAAAUAAAUCAUCAACCUAACUAACUAACAACAAUAUCAACAUACUCAGUUUGGUCCCAUGGGGCAAAGAAGUUGUUUUUAAUAAACCAUUGGCUCAAGUAGAACAUAUUGAAAUCAAGUAUCCAAGAAGCAAAAGUUUGUAUUUUUACUGCAGAAAGUUGUGGAGCGAAGAAAAGGGAGGUCUCUAUUUAGCAAAGAUGAACAUGAAUGUGUACAUUAUUAUAGUUGGUUCUGCAACACCUAGGAUCAACAAAGGUUGAACCAAUGAUGGAGUGUAUAAUUCCAAAAAAAUUGCAGUGAAUGCUAAUUUUUACGGCAGGUAGAAUUUAAUCUGUAGGUGUUAUAAGAAUUUCAUACACAUUAAACAAUUUAUGAAUUUCUAGGUCCAAAGAUAAUUGAAACAAAUUCACCUUGCAUCUUUCAAUGAUCAUAAACUUAUGUAGCAAUAAACAACUAAGACAUAAACUAUCAGAAAAUUCAUGUUAUCUUACAACUCCACAUAAUAAUACAUAGAAUUUCAUCCAAACUCUUUCUAAAAUAUACUAAUGAAUAAUGAAUGAAAAGAAAGUACCUCAAAGUUUACAUAAUCUUCUAAUGCCUUUGUCCAAUUGAAAUAACCCCAAUGUAUUUUUGUUUGAAGACGCUACUUCUAUUGAUUUUUUAUAAAAUCUAUACUGCAAACUAAAAAUACUAACAAUUCUCACUUUUGCGCUAUUAAUAUGUAGAGAAAUACAUGUCCAAAACAAAUAGACAUAACAUAUCCGAGCGGCAUAAAUGGCUAACCAAUACAUGGUACAUGCACAACUAUGCAAGCAAAGCAAAAAAUAGAAUGAGGAUCUUUGUUCGUCAUUCCCGUCUACACACAAAAACAUACAAUCAAUUAAACAUGAUACACAACUAUUCAAGCAAAACACAAUAUAGAUUUAUAAAAUUGAAUCAGAAUUUAUUCAAUCAUUAAGAGAUACUCCUCAUUUAUAAUCAAAUAAUGAGUCCUACUACGUUUGUGAAAUUUUAUUUGGUCCAUCCUUAAUUUAUAAAAGUCGAAAAUCUCUAUAGAAAGAAUUUACCUAAAUAUGAUAGAUUUUUCUUCUUUUUUUGAAAGAAAAAAAGCAAAAAAUAUUUCUGGUAAUUUUCUUUAUUUACUUAAAUUUUAAGAUAUUAACAUAGUACUUCAAGAUUUCUACUAUGACAUUAGUAGUUGGGUCUACUGGAUUUGAAAAAAAAACAAAAAAAACAUGAACCUAAAAACAAAUCCUUCACUUCUAAACCUAACAUUAAUAUCGUUCUAAAAAUGCCACCGACCCCUAAAUUUUACUUAAAAUAAAACUGUAACAUUUAUGACAUUAUUUGAAUUUCAAUUAUUAUACUUGAUAAUUAAAAGAUAAUUAUUUAAGAAAAUUAGUAUAAAGAUGAUUUUAUCUAUUACAGAAUUUUUUAAUGAAGGGCAAAAAGUUCAAAUCACCUUUUUAAAAGUUCACAUUUUUUAUAUAUUAUGAAUAUAGAUUAUUAAUUACUUUCAUAAUAUAAAUUUCCAAAAUAUAUGGAACUCUUUCCGUUAUUUUGUCAUGUAUAACAUUAAUAUUAAUCAUUAUUUGUUACGAAUGUAUUUACAUUAUUGUGAAUGUCUAUUAGGAAUAUAGAUAAAAUCUAUCAAGAUCUAAUUGAUAUCUAUCAAGAUUUGAAGUAUCUGUCUUUUAGUGAGAUACUAAUAUCUAUCCUUUAGUGAGAUAGUAGGAGUAAAUUUUUCCAUAGAGGGAUUUUAUUCAUUGUAAAUUAUUCUCAAAAAUCUCAUCUCAAAUAAAGAAGUCUCCCCUCUUCUCUCUCUAUUUAUCUAUUUAUCUACUCUUUUUCUUUAUUCUUUGUUAUUUCAAACACGUUAUCAACAUUUUUUGUUAUUUCAUAACACGUUAUCAGUAUUCUUUGUUAUUUCAUAACACAUUAUCAGCACGAUACUCUACUAUAUUGAGUAUAUGCUUUAAAAUAUUGAAGCAGUUUGAAACUUCAAUCAUCAGCCGAAUCAAGGUGAAAUUAUAAUUGUCAAAAUAAUCUCAAGGUGAGUAUGGAAUUUGAUAUAAUCAAAUUCAAUUUACACCAAAUAUAUAAUUGUUAUAAACUCUUAGAUUUUGGUACUUUAAGUACGGUUGUGAAUCUCUAUGUAACAUUGAGUAGCAGGUAUGUUUAAGGUUGUAAUUAAUUUUGAAAUUUACUUUCUCACAAAAAAAAAAAAGAAAUUGCUCUACAGUAAAUUACCUUAAGAGUAAUUACUUUUUUAUAAUUAGUAUUACGUUCUUGCAUGUUAAUAUUGAAUUUAAGAAAUACAAGUGGAGCCACUGAAAUAUGUGCUUGAUUAUCAUAUUGUAUCCCUAGAAUAUGAUAUAAAGGAUCCUAUAUUAAUUUUAUUUAUAUGUGAAUAGCAUGUAUUUGCUAACUAGAUCUAAAAUUUUAUGGCUGUGAUUUUAUUUUUAUGUAGUAUUAUAUCCAUUAUCAUUAGAUAAAUAUCAUAAAGAUCAAAUUUGUAUAUGCCUAAAAUAAUCACAGAGUAGUGAUAUUAUUAUAGGCUCAAAUUUAUAUUUUAUUAUACGUUAUUAUUUAUGUUAUUGGUUGAAGAAAAGAUGAUUGAUUCAAAUCCUAAAAUACCAAAAGAAUAAGAUAUUGGAUUAGAGUUCCAAUGCAACAUGAUAAAAUAUUGGGUUCAAAUCUAAUCGAUGUACGUCUAAGACGCCUUUAUAUGAAUAAGACGUUGUGUUUAAAUCUCAAUGCACCAUAUUGAUGAUAUCAUGAUGGCUAAGGCAAAAUAAUGCGUAUUUCAUGAAAAGUGAUGAAACAUGUCCUAUUGAAAUAUGUUCCAUUCCUGAAAUGAAUGUGGUAGCAGUGCAUAACAUGUCUGAAUGAACACAAGUGGUUGAAUAGAUGCACAUAAACGUGGAAAGGGACAAAAUAAUAAUAUUUUUCACAUGUUUGCAUGCCUUGAUCUUAAAAGAGACUAUAAGCUAUCAUAAUUUGAUAGACUUAAGACACGAUUAUAUUCCAAACCUGGAGAAUGAGAAUCUUAUUAAUGCAAACGUGCAUUUUAUUGUGAUGGUAUCAUAACUCACCUCCGAAUGAGGCAUAAUAACUGAGAAGUGUAAUAGUAAAUUUGAAAAAUUUACUAAAGAAAAAAUACAUGUCAUGGUAAACUUGUGUUUACUACUGUAAAUAAGUUCAUAAGUUGAUAUGAACGAGUGUGACAUCUCGAAGAUGUGCAUAUUGAGUAUUAGACAUGUAUUGAAGAAUUAAAAGAUUCUUCAAGAAUUGUUUAUAUCUCUUGUUCUCAUGAUAAGUUGGUUAGACCAACUAAUAUUGGGAUUUGAUCCCUUAAAAUUCGAAAAGUUAAAAGGUGAAAAGGGCUCGUUCACCUAUUAUGUGAUAUGUUUUGAAAAGAUGCAUCAAUAAGAUGAUCAUAUGUAUAUUUAUUGUGAACCUGCAGUUUGACAUUCAUAAAGUUGUUUACUUAAUGAAAUUGAGUUAAGAGCAUUAUUUUCUGACUGUGCAAUCAAGACAAUCCAUCUUGAUGAAAAUGGGUUGGCAUUUAAUGUCUUCAAUAAAUAGUUAAACCAUUGUUAAUGAGAACAAAACUUCAUGUUGUUGGUCUGAAAUAUGAUUAGGACUUAUAUGCAUUAGACCAAUAAAUUAUGAUUAUUUCCUUCCUCUCAAUUGGUUCAAGGUCAGGAACCAACUAUUCUAUCUACUAGUUUUGAUAUGCGGUAUACAAUUAAUAAAUAUACCAUGAUACAUAAAAAUAGAUUCCUCAAAGAAGAUGGAGGAUGUAUGUUAGUUUUCCUAACAUGACGGGGGAGAUUAUAAGCAGCUCUGAAAUAUGCUAGGAAUUAUCAUCAGAUCCACAUUCAAAAGAUAAUUCAAGUCAUAUGUCGAAAACAUUUACUGACUCAAAUUUAAUCUCAUAUCUAAGCUGCAAGUGCUCCUAUUUUGUGUUCAUAAAGGACAAAAUCUACGCAUGUGUGAAGUGUGGUAGACCAAUCGAUUCCAAAUAAAAUAAUCCUCGAAAAGGAUAAGGAGUAAAUGGUCAUAAUAAGAAGACAAUGUGCUCUUGAAAGAGCCUAGGACAUAACACUUCAUGAAACCUUAUGAGAGGUUCAGGUACUUGAAAAUAAUGAAGUAAUGAGAUCUCAAAAUGUUAUGUCACACUGUGAACCAAUACGAAAUGAUAUAUCAUCAAUGAUAUCUUUGAUAUAAUAUUGAUGCAAUAUUGUAAAAGAUUACGAGGAUACGGAUUCUAUGUUUAUUUAAGCAUGCUGACGUAGAAACAUUUAUCAAGUGACCUAAAAUGAUGCAUUUUGGUAAGCGUAAACCUUAUUUGAUUUGCAGUCGAGACACUUGAAGAUGUCACACUUGACAUGUUGGAUAUUGUCACUCAAUAAAAAUCCAUAUGAAAAUCCCUAGAGGAUUCAAAAUGCCGAAAGCAUAUAAAGUUUAUGGGAAACUUUUUAUUAUCCUAAUAAGAGAUAAUUUGAUGAUCUGAGUAUCAGUGGAACUCUUGGAGAGUUUUCAAGGUAAUAGAAAUAUUUGCUCAAAUGAGAAAUAUGGAAAAUUGAAUACGGAUCCAUUCCGACCUCAAGAAAAGAAUGAGGAACUCCUUGGUUAUGAAGUGUCAUAUCUUAGUGCAAUUGAUGCACUAAUGUAUAUUGCAAAUACUGCAAGACUUGAUAUAACCCUUUUCAAUUAAUUUGUUAGCAAGUUUGCAGUCUUGAUCUUAUUGGUCAUGUUGAUGUUCGGUACUUAUCUGACCUAUAUAAAGUUUGGUCUCAAAUAGGCUAUGUGUUCAUAUGUGGUGGUACAACAAUGUCUUGGAGAUAUACAAAACAGUUUAUCGUAGCCACUUCAUCGAACCAUGCUGAGAUAAUAGUUAUUCAUGAAGCAAGUCGAGAAUGUGUAUGGUUGAGGCAUGAUAUAUCUUUUUUUCCUUCACUAUUUUUUUUUCCUUCACUAAAUUUUUUUUUCCACUGAAUUUUUUCUAAUAAGGUUUUAACGAGGCACAUUAUCUAUCAAUUAAACAUUCAAGGGGAGUAUUAUAAAUGUAUUUACAUUAUAGAAUAUCUAUCAAGAAUAUAGAUAAGAUUUAUCAAGAUCUAAAUGAUAUCUAUCAGGAUUUGAAUUAUCUAUCUUUUAAUGAGAUUUGAAUUAUCUGUCUUUUAGUGAGAAACUAGGAGUAAAUUUCUCCUAUAAAUAGAGGGGUUUUAUUCUCUCAUUCUCAAGAGAAAUAAAGAUGUCUCCUAUCUUUUCUCUAUAUGUAUCUACUCUUCUUCUUUAUUCUUUGUUAUUUCAUAAUACGUUAUUAGCAUUCUUUGUUAUUUCACAACUUUUAUUGUUUCCUUAACAAUGGAAAUUUGGAGCCAUUAAUUCUGAUGAUUUCUAAUAAGGAAAAGUUUUAUCAUAAAUAUAUUUUAAUUUUUAACUCUUAAAUAUUAAAAAAAAUAGUGAAAAAAUAAUUUUAUUUAAAACAAAGACUUUUAAUGGAGGAUAAAAAGUUCAAACAAUAUUUAUUAGGUCGUUCACACUUUUAAUAUAUUACUAUUAUUAUUAUUAUUAUUAUUAUUAUUAUUUGCCUGAUUACUAAGUAUUUUCUACCCUUCUACUUCAUAAAUAAUAAAUUUAUAGGUUUACAAUAUUAAUUAAAAUGCAAAAAGAAAAUCACAAAUAAUUAAAAAGAUGAAUGAAUUUAGAUAUGAUGUAAAACCCUACUACCACAUUGACCCGACCCGUUUUUCCUACCACGGGAUCGCUUAAACCCCUACCGCCAACCCAUUCUUUCUCUCUUUCAGCUUACUUUGAAGCUAAACUGUAGGCACAUUAACGUCCAUUUGUAAAAAUAUUUUAGCUUUUUACGCUGAAUAUUGGCAGCUGCAGCACAACAAUGUAAGAAUUGUUGUUUUUUUUUCUUUGUACUAAAUUUGAAUUUGAUGAUUUCCCAGAAUUAAGUUUUUUUGAGUGUCUGAUUGAUUUGUAAAUGCAAUGAAUUGAGUUUUCUUGUUCUGGUUUGUAAGGAUUAAUGUUUGGUUGGUUUAUUUAUUCAAUUUGAAUAAUACCCAGAAUGGAGUUUUGUGUAUCUAGUUUUUUUGGAAUGCGAAAAUUUUAGUUUUUUUCUUGGUGGAUUGUAGGAAUUAUUGAUUAUUGUGGUUUAAGUUUGAAUUUUUAUUACACCCAGAACUGAGUUUUGAGUUUCUGGUUGAUUUGUGAAUGCAAAGUCUUGAAUUUUCCUGUUCAGGUUGUAAGGAUUAAUGUUUGUUUUGGUUUUAUUUAUUUAUUUAUUUAUUUAUUCAAUUUGAGUAAUACCCAGAAUGGAGUUUUGUGUAUCUCGUUGUUUUGGAAUGCAAAAAUUUGAGUUUUUUCUUGGUGGGGUUGUAGGAAUUAUUGAUUAUCGUGGUUUAAGUUUGAAUUUAAAGGAUACUCAGAACUGAUUUUUGAGUUUCUGUUUGAUUUUGAUUGCAAAGAUUUUUUUUCUUUUUUUCUUUUUGGUGUUCUUGGAUAGUGUUAAAUGUUUAGUGUGUAUUUUUGUAUUGAAGGUCUCGUCUCUGUGUGAAGAAUUUGCCAAAGUAUGUAGCCGAGGACCGUCUCAGAGAAUUCUUCUCUCAGAAAGGGGAAGUCACCGACGCCAAGCUCAUGCGUACUUCGUUAAGUUUCUCUUCUCCUCUCUGCUCUACCUUUUUUUUUUUUUUUUUUAAAUAGUAAUGUGAGCUGUAGACAAACUCUGUGCCUGAGUCCAUAGUUUGUUGUACUGAUACGGGUCAAAAUGGAGGGAGCCAGCUAGAAAGCAUUCAUACAGUUAACCACAAUUAGUAAAGAACUUGUUGUUAAUGACUAAUGUACAGUAGCAUUUCAGUUUUUCAGUUUUUCAUCGGUGGUUUCAGCCAAUAAUUGAUUUUUUGACUGGUAUUCACGAAUUGCUAUUUGAUACUGUAGAGAUUUUUGGGUAUGUUCAUGAAUUUGAAAUUCAUUUGACAUCGACUGAUUGCCACUUUAAGCAGAGAUGGAAAGAGCAGGCAGUUUGGAUUUGUAGGAUUUCGAACGGAGCAAGAGGCUGAGGAAGCUAUCAAGUAUUUUGACAAGUCUUUCAUGGAUAAUAGUCGUAUUAUUUGUGAGGUAUGUUUUUUCUGCUUCAGUUACUAUGCUGUUCUGCUUGGGUGGUAUACCUAUUUAGCAGAAGACGAAAAAGCAUAUCUCUGUUCCAUAUUCCAUUAUUUUGAAAUUAGUCGAUAUAUACAUUUCAAAUUACUCCACCUGUCCUAUUUUAUGUGACAUACUUUCCUUUUUGGUUGUCCAAAAAAAAUGACAUCUUUGUAAUAAUUAGAAAUACUUUGACUUUAAUUUUUUAUUUUACUCUAUUAUAGCCUCAAAACUGGCAUGGUUUUUGUUAGACCACGAGCUCCAAAAAGAUUUCUUUCUUAAACUCCGUGUCAAGUCAAGCACCGCCAAAAUAGCUGGGACACAUAGUAUAAAAGAUGAUGCCUUUAUAAUUUUUCCAAGUAGCUAGUGAAAGUAUCCUUAUAUAAGUCCUGUUAACUUUAUUGCUUUAUUCUAAUUUACAUUGUGAAUUACUUGAAUCUUUAUUUUCAUGGGUUGUGGAUUAUUAUUUUUCUAGAGAGUAGCUAUAUAUUGGUGAUGUGCUUGAAUGAUAUGUGCGGGGGUGAGAGGUUGACUGGGGAUAGUUUCAGGAGAGGUAGAGGUAGGCUGAAGAAGUAUUAGCGGAGGUGAUUAGAGAAGAUAUGACACAGUUAAAGCUUACCGAGGAUCCGACCUUAGGUAGGAGGUUGUGGAGGAACACAACUUAGGGUAGAAGGCUAGAUAGAAGUAGAGCAUUGUCUCGCUUGUCCUCACAUAUGGUAGUCGUCGUAUUUCUCCGGUAGUUUCUUGUCCUUCAAUUUCUGUUACCAGCUACUGUCUCUUGUACUAUAAUUACCACAGUAUUUUAUUGUAGUAGCUAUUCCUUUUUCAAAAUGCUUUGCCAUGAUUUCUUCACUUUUCAUUAAUUUUUUCGAUUUGCUUUCAUAUGCUUUUUCUUGAGCCGAGGGUCUAUUGGAAACUCUCUACCUCCCAAAGUAGGGGUAAGGUCUGCAUGCACUCUAUCUUCCCUAGACCCCACUUGUGGGAUUACACUGGUUAUAUUGUUGUUUUGUUCUUGUGCUUGAAUGACACAUAAAUUCAUUUUCAUAUAGCCAGAUUGCAAGGAAAAUUGGGGAUCCAAAUAUCCCUCGUCCAUGGAGCAGGCACACUUUGAAGAAACAAGAGAAAUUGACAAAUGAGGAUGAGAAUGCAAAAGUAAACAAAAGUUCCAAGUCUGCAGGUUUAAAAGGGGACAAAAAGAAUAGUAAACAGGAGAGUAAGGAUGAGGAUCCUCAGCUUCAAGAGUUCCUUGAAGUUAUGCAGCCUCGGAGUAAGUCAAAGUUGUGGGCAAAUGAUACACUAGCAGCUCCAUCUCUUGCUCAAAGUAAAAAGGAUGGCCAUAAGCAAUCCCAGGCAAAAGAGACUAACCGGGAAAAAUUGGCUACUGAUAACUCUGAGUUAGAUGAGGUUAUUAAAAAAGAGGAAUCUCUGUCAGUUAAUGAAAAUUCUGAGAAACCUGACAGCUUCCAUAAUGAUGAAGUUAUGACCGAUACAGAUUAUUUCAAAAGUAGAGUGAGGAAAGAUUGGUCAGACUCAAAAAGUAGUGAAGACGAUGGUAGUGAUAAUGAAAGUGACACUGAAAGUGGCAAGAGCAAUGAAGAUGCAAAUACUGGUAAUAUCCUCAAACCUGAUGAUACAGAGGAAGUUUUGACUGAUGGGUUCACCAGAUCUAACAAUAAAUCGCUUGAGCCUGCUGACCCUUCAUCAAGUGUUAUGGAUGAAAAAGAAGAAGAUCUGGAGAGUGGACGAUUAUUUGUUCGUAAUCUUCCUUACACCACGACGUAAUACAUCUUUGUUCUUCUUUUUUCCUUUAUCCUUUUUUUUUCUGGGUGAUUUAGUUAACUCGAUAUGUUGACUUCAACAAACCUAAUGUAUGUUCUUGCCAAACAAAUGGUUUUAUGACUCAGGGAAGAGGAGCUGGAAGAACAUUUUAGAGCAUUUGGCAAUGUCUCACAGGUUCAUAUUGUUGUUGACAAAGAUACAAAGCGGUCCAAAGGAUUUGCAUAUGUUCUCUAUGCAUUACCAGAAUCUGCUGCUAGGUACCUGUCAAUCAGCAUCCAAAUUCUAAGCUACUGCACUUUUUACCUGCAAGAAGCACACUGAUAUCCGUGUUAUAAAUUCUGAGUCCCUUGUAUACGUAUGUAUGUGUCUAUUUUUCAUGUUCCAGUGCUUCCUUGCAUUGCUUUUUGAUUGUUUCUUCCAGGGCAUUAGCGGAGCUGGACAGUUCAAUUUUUCAAGGACGAUUACUUCAUGUCAUGCCAGCUAAGCAGAAAAUUUCUCCAGAGAAGAUAGAGUAAGUGUUGUUUUACCACGCUUUUCAAUGUUCAUAUCCAUUAGAUUGUUUGCUUAUGCAUAUAUGUCGAGAGAAGCUCUCCUUUUUCUUUUUAAUAAUGUGGGAUCUACCUUGCUAUUAUAAGAUUGGUUCAUUUAUUACUCUGUAGGACAGUUGAUAAUACCAAGCAAUUUUCAAAAACAUUUAAGCAGCAGAGACUACAGGAAAAGAAGGCAUCUGAAGCUAGUGGAAAUACACAAUCUUGGAAUACUCUUUUCAUGCGGCCAGACACCGUAUGUACACUAUCGAAUGUUAUAAUUUAGAAUAUUUUUUCUUACUAUUAUGAGGGUUGGUUCUGUCAUUUUAGAAUUUUAAUCUAUGUUUUGCUAAGACACACAUUCUUAUCCACAUUCUGCGCCACAUAAAAUAAUACAGAAAUUUAUGCAUAAACUCUACAUGGAUUAUUUAUGAGGAAAACGAUAACUAACAUCUGAACAUUGUACAAUUUAAUAUGGAUUUUUAUGUGAAGCUUAAAUUUCCUCAAUCCCAACCAAACAUGGUACAAAUUAACUUUGGGAUUUUUUCUUCCGGGGGGUGGGGGUGGGGGUGGCUUUGUACAUCAACUUUUACAGCCCCUUGAUGCUUGCUGUAAUAGACUGGGUUUAUCUUUUUUUACAUUUGAUCUGAUUUGAGUUAUUUUUGUUCCUAUAUUAUGCUUCUUGUAAGAUGAUUUGGUUGUUCAAAUCUUUGUAGCUAUCCUAACUUGUAUAAUCAGUUUUUGAAAUGCUUCAGGAUCUUUAAUUACUGCCCGUUUGGGUUGAGUAUGCAUUCUACUGUGUCAGCGUUUGGACUUGUUCUUGAAAGUAAAAAUGAGCUCCUUCUGUUCUUUGAAAUUUUUUAGGUUGUCGAGAAUAUUGCAAGAAAAUUUGGUGUUAGUAAAAGUGUUCUUCUUGAUAGAGAAGCUGAUGAUCUUGCCGUACGUAUAGCAUUGGGUGAGACUCAAGUGAUAGCAGAGACGAAAAAGGCUCUUGCAAAAGCUGGGGUUAAUAUUGCUUCACUGGAAGACUACGCUGCUGGAAAAACUGAUGGAGUGAAACGAAGCAAUCACGUUAUUCUAGUUAAGAACUUGCCCUAUGGUUCGUCAGAAGGUGAACUUGCGAAUAUGUUUGGGAAGUUCGGGAGUCUGGAUAAGAUUAUUCUUCCUCCCACCCAAACCUUAGCUUUGGUUUGUGCUUUUAUCUUUGAAGCCUUUGGUUUGAAAUGACUAUUCUUGUAACUAUAAUUGUUCUUUAUGUGCUUUGUGACUUUUCCGUACAAUAGGGUGUUCUGAUUUGAUACUAAUAGACCAAGUUUCUGUUUGUGUAAAUAGACAUGAAUUAGUUGGAAAUAACAAGAUUGUUUGCUGCUUCUGUGAUUAUUACAAUCAGGUUGUCUUCCUAGAACCGGCAGAAGCACGCACAGCUUUUCGGGGCCUAGCAUACAAACGUUACAAGUAAGUGUAUAUAUCCGUUUCUUGCUUUUGAUACAGCGGUGAUUUUUGUAGUUGAACAAGUAGCUGUAUAUGUAAAGACAAUUUCAUGUCAUGACUGAUAACUAAGCAAGAUUGGAAUAGCUUUAGAAUUGGGAUAACACAUAAAUACUCUCCUCAACUUAUUGUGAAUAUUCAUCUAUACUUUUUAACUUUGCUAGUGCCCUAUUACACCCAACCCCCAAGGGGCCUUUUUGAAGUUGAGUAACUACCAGAUUUGUGUUGGGUGUUGAAAUAACACCACUUACUCCAUAUACUUUGAAGUUGAGUAACUUUGCUAGUGCACUCACCACUUAAUUUUUGUUCACCUUUUUUUUCCAUAUACUUUGGUUAUUUCUUCCUCCACCUUUGUUCAAAUGCAUUAAGCGGACUCUCCCCCAAUCUAAACUUUGCGCCUUCCUCUCACUCCUACUCCAAUAAUUCCUUGUCAAUGAUUAGUGAUGUCGCCCUGUAUUCUCGAAACAAGGUGCAUUUUAUGUUACCUCGGAUCCUGUUAGUGAGAGAAGACUCAAAAUUAGAGGGAAGCCAUGGAAAGAGAAGGGAAUUCCAUUUUUUUUUACUUUGCUUUAGAGAAUUGAGAAACCUUCCAAUUUUUUAUUUUGCAAGAUUGAGGUUUCUCCUAGCUUGCUUUGUUCUUUCUAGCACAUAUCAGUUUUGCUGCAUCUCAUAUGCAAUAUAUUUUGAUUCAGUCUUGAAAGUUUGGAAUUAUGAAGUAAAUUUUGUCCCUUUGUCCUGAUGCAGAGACACUCCCCUUUAUUUGGAGUGGGCUCCUGGGAAUAUUCUUGAUCAAACGAGUGAUUCCAAAAAUGAUUUUAUUGUUGGUGAAGAUGAUGUAAAGAGAGUGCUCCUGGAGCAACAAGUGGAAGGAAUAGCAGAUCCAGAUGUUGAUCCUGAUAGAGUGGAGGUAUAUAAACUGUAAAACCCAUGUUUCCCAUCUUUAUAUAGAAUGUACUUUGGUGCUAAGUCCCUACUGUUGUAUGAGUCUACUUGCGAGCUGUUUAUAUCUACCUGUAUUGUAUAGACUAAUACCUAGCUAAGUUUGUCCUCGUCAAUCUUUGCUUGUGGAUUAUUUUUCUGUUCAUCUCCAUUUGCCAGCAACCGCAAAUGAAGCUUUGUUGAGGUUGGCACUUCCAUUUGAUCAAUAGUCUAUUAUUAUAUGCACUUCUGUCGCCCUGACAUGUGUCCCACCAUAUGACACAAAGUUUCACUUUAUGAAUGCCAUUUUAGGAGUCUGUCAUGUUGGUACAUUUACUUUAGGUUCAAUGUUUGUUAGGUACAUUUACUUUAGGUUCAAUGUUUGUUAGGAGUCUUUUAGUUUCGAUACAGAUGCUAGUAGAAAAUGUAAAGAAUCUCUAGUGCUAGAGAAACCAGAUCAAAAUCGUAGAGAGACGAGCUUGAGUGGAGUGGCAUCUAGCAUGUGUUGAGGACUCAUACAACUGACCCAACUAGCAUGAGGUUGAGGCGUACUUUUUGUUUUUGUCGAACACAAAAAUGUGGAAGAUAUUACAAAUUUAAGUGGUUUUGUUUUUGUUGAACACAAAAUGUGGAAGAUAUUACACAAAAUGAGGAGUGGCAUCUAGCAUGUGUUGAGGACUCAUACAACUGACCCAACUAGCAUGAGAUUGAGGCGUACUUUUUGUUUUUGUCGAACACAAAAAUGUGGAAGAUAUUACAAAUUUAAGUGGUUUUGCUUUUAUUGAACACAGAAUGUGGAAGAUAUUACAAAUUCUUAAACGAACUCUUACAUUUGAUUGAUACUGGUAACGUACUGGUAUAUAUAAAGUCACAUUUUCAGAGAAAUGAAGAAACCCGGCUAUGCAAAAAUCAAAUUUACAGACAGCCUAUCAAAUCGAUUAGAGAAUCUGUUUCCUCUAGUAGUAUGUAAGACUUUUUUGAGAAUUUCUACUAGUAUGUAAGACUCAAACUUAAGUCUACAUAUUUAUUCAAGUUUUUAGUUUGCUGGAAAUUAACUGUGGCCUGCAUAUGAUAGGUCCCCAGAAAAUCAGAAAUAAAUAAUUCUCAAAUAUGAACUGUACUCUUGUUGUUGUUGUUGUUGUUGUUGAACUGUACUCUUGGUAGCAGCAGACUAUUGAAUACACAUGGUCACAUGACAUGCUGGUUCAGCUGCUCCACUAUUGCCAAAAAAUCAUGCUACCUGUACCAAAAACCAAAAGAAUUCAGUUAUUGGAAAUAAGUAUAUAGUGAAGAACAUUGCAGUUAUAGAAAUUCCUUGUUACUUCUUUGUUUGUUCUUAUAACUGCCUUGAUUUCUCAGGUUUGUUUCUUGUUUCAUUAACCAAUUGAUAUUCUUGUUGUCACCUUUCCAGUCACGAUCACUGUAUGUCAAGAACCUAAAUUUCAAGACAUCAGAUGAGAGUUUAAAGAAACAUUUCACUGAUCACAUAAAGGAUGGGCGAAUAUUAAGUGUGAGGGUAAGUUCUUGUGGCUCUUUUUUAUGCUGAGACGCCAAGUAUUUAGCAUAGUAUUUCCUUUGUGCUACAUGAAAAAAUAACUAGUCUUCCUCCAACACCUGUUAAUAUUAUUCUGUGAAGGUGAAAAAGCAUGUAAAGAAUGGAAAAACUGUCUCGAUGGGUUUUGGAUUCAUUGAGUUUGAUUCUGCUGAUACAGCAAUCAAUGUUUGUAAGGAUUUGCAGGUAAUCAGUCUGAUUUUUGUUUUAACAUUUUGUCCAUACAUUCGGGCUCCUACAAAUAGCGUUUCAUCUUCCCCUCUUCUUGUCAUUCAGGGAACUGUUUUGGAUGGGCAUGCACUUAUAAUGCAACUUUGCCACACUAAGAAGGAUGAUCAACUACCAAAGAAAGCUGAGAAUGAUAAGAGUUCGACUAAGUUGCUUGUUAGGAAUGUUGCUUUUGAGGCAACUGAAAAGGAUCUCAGGCAACUAUUCAGUCCAUUUGGGCAGGUACUUCCUCUGAAGUGUUGUUAAUGUAGGGUGAUACUAAGUAGUAGAAAAUAAUACUAGGUUUUCCUGUGUUGGGAAGUGGCAAAGCUAGAAGUUAAUUGAGGAUAAGUAUGUCUGUGGGCACGAGGAUGCAUUAUAUCCUGUGCAUUUCCAUUGAGUCCAUAUGAGAGACAUUUAUCCAUAUGUAAGUGGGCAUGUAGAAUUCUCUCCGAUUUGUAAUGCUUUUGUUCAAAAUUCCAGGUCUAGUGGAAUGUGUCAUGAAAUUUAUUAGUGUGAAAAAUGUUGAUAUAGACAAAAUGAUGCGUGGUAAUUGGCAGAUGAUCUAGCCACUAGAAGCUAGGGCUAGAAAAAAAAAAAAACAUUAUGAUGGUUACUUGAAAGUCUGACAUAUAUGUUAUUUUUGACCUGCAUUCAUCAUGUUUCACAUAGCGACUUAUUUCAAUGUCCUUUCCGUUGACCUCAAAAUUAAAUUCAUCCUACAGAUUAAGAGUUUAAGGCUGCCAAUGAGGUUUGGGAACCAUAGAGGAUUUGCAUUUGUAGAGUUCGUCACUAAACAAGAGGCAAAGAAUGCCAUGGAAGCUCUAUCCAAUUCUCACUUGUAUGGGCGCCAUUUGGUAUGUGAUCUUGCAAUUCUCAUAGUAUAUAUCUACUACCUAAAUAUCACCAAGUAAUAUGUUGUGGUGCAUGUUACAUCUCAGGUUCUUGAGAGAGCCAAGGAAGGUGAGAGCUUAGAGGAAUUACGCGCUCGCACAGCUGCUCAGUUUAGUACUGAGCAAAAUGGGUUUCAAACUACUAAAUUAUCAAAGAAGAGAAAACAAAUGGCUAUAUUGGAUGAAGGGAGUUUUAAAUUCGAGCGAAUUGCUGAUUAAAUACUUCACAACUCCCUUCAAAUCCCCAAUUCACUUGUCCUGUAUAGGUUAAAGCUACUAAUUCUGCAGUAUUUAUAGCCCAAUAGUACUAAGAUGAGAGCUUGUUUAAUCAAUUUUGUUCAUUAAUGUAAUGUCUUGACAUCCUCUUCGGUUUGUAUUGUAGAUCAUGAAAAGUUUGCUGUCAGUUUGUGACAAAAAAAUAUCAAAGUAGUAGGUAAACAAAGUUUGAUCCUUUGGGAUGUUUCUUAUGGAUUACUUUAAUAAUGAAGAUAGCAUUCUUGUCACAGGGGGGUAAUGUAGAAAUGCUAUUUCUUAUCCACCAUAACCAAAAGAAAAAACUUAAAUCAUCUCGAGUUUAGAAGGUGAAUUUCUUGGUUAGAAAAAGAAGGGCAACAAAGGGUCGAUUUAAAAGGAAAAAAAAAAAACAGAGUGGCCAGUGUGAAAACAUGGACAAUUUUUUAAUUUGAGUCAAAAAAAUUUCCUGCAUUAUUAGAAUGACAAAGAAAAUAAGAAAAAAAAGUGGAAGGAAAUGAAGGAGGACGGCAAACAGGCGUUGACGUCCUAGUUUUAAAUACUUACAUAAAUUUUAAGUGAUAUAUCUCAAAGAAUGUGAUGUAUUCUUGUUGAAUUUUUUAGAAUUUUAAAAGACGUUGGAAUAGGAAGUAAUUAACAUCAAAAGAAUUGAGAUUUGCGUAACUUUUACAUUAUUUAUUCUGCUCUAGAAAAGUGCAAGGAAAUGAAGGAAAAUUUAGCGUCUUUAGAAAAUUCUCCAUCUUUAGCAAAAUAAGAACAAAAAUUUGCGUACAUUUUAUCUUUUCUAAAUUUCAUCUAUACGUGUUGACAGUUUGAUAACAUUUUCUUUUCUUGUUAAAAUAGUUCCUUCUUUUGGUCGUGACAUGCGCAAUUGGAAAAGAAAAAAGAAUCAAGUAAAUUGGUAAUAACGACAUUGCAGAAAUUUACCUCAAAAAAAAAAAAAAUUAUUGUCCCCUUUAAACUAUAUAUCAUCGAUCACUAUCAUUAUUCAUCAUUAUAUAAUCACCAAUCAGCACUAUAUAUUAUAAACUAUCGUCAUCAUUCACCAUCACUAUAAGCUAUUACUAUCAUCCACCACAACUAUCAGUCAUUGUGACAAGGAGUAACCAUCAAUCACUACUCUCACAACUAUCAUCACCAAUAGCUACACCCUUAACACCACUAUUUGCCAAUAUAUCUUCAAUCGACACCCACAAUCACUAUCGCUAGCCAUCACUAUCAUCAACAGUCAUAUAAUGUUUAUAGUAAAUUAAUUUAAUUUUUUUUAUUAAAUUUUACUUUAUAAUAGAAGCGGCAAUCUUGACCAUUUUAGAGUCGUCCUGGCUGCUUCAGCUGCUUCAAGCGUAAUUUUACUAUAUCACCCCUAAUUAAUUAUUAUAAAUUAUUUCAUUUAAGUAUUAUAAUAUUAAUAAUAUUUAAUAAAAGAAUAGUUUUCAAAAUGACUACUAAAUUCCUCAAAGUUCCAUUUAUUAUUAUUCGAGAAUUUUUUUUAGCUGUUUCAAUCGUAAUUUUAAUGUAUCACCUCUAAUUAAUUAUUAUAAGCCAUUUACGUAUUAAAAAUUAAUAAUAUUUAAUAUAAAAAUAAAACAAACAUUUUUUACAUGUCUGCUUCAGUUGGUUCGACAUAAUUUUACUAUAUCACCUCUAAUUACUCAUUAUGAGUCAUCUAAGUAUUAAAAAAUAAUGUUAAAAAAUUAUUAUAAAAUCAUCUAAGUUUUAAAAAACUAAUAAUAUAAAAAAAUAUUAAUCUGCCAAAUAUUUUUCAAAAAUAGGUAAGAAAUACUAUACAUCACAAUAAUUAGCAACUAGAAAGUUUAGAGUCAAUUUACUUUCUUUGGCACAUCUUCAUUGGUCCUUUCCUUUGCCUUCAUUUUUUCAUCUAUUUUAAUUUGUUAUAUAUUUUUUAAAAAAAAACUUGUAAAUCACAAUAAUUAAUAAAUUAAAAAUUAAAAACAUAUAAAUAUUUGACUGACUUUCAAAAUUAUAUCAUUGCUACUUAAAUUGGAAUAGAAGAAAAAAUACUAUAGAUCACAGUAAUUAAAAACUUAAAUUAUUUAUAAAAUAUAAUUGACUAUCAAUAGUACAAAAUUUUAAACAAGGAGUGUAACAUAUAUUAUUUAAAAUUUACAUAAAACUUAUUAUAAAUUACAAUAUUUAACAAAUUAAAAUAUCUAAAAAAAAUUAUUAUAUAUUUUAAAAAAUACAUAAAAGUGCUAUAGAUCAUAAUAAUUAACAAAUUUAAGACAUAUAAAAUAUUUGAUUGACUUUUGUUCAAUUAUAAAAAAAUAAGCACUUUGAUGAAGAUUUAUAGUAUCAUUCAAGUAAAUACAGAUUAAGAUCGUAGAAACAUGAGCUAGUGAUAUAGCUACACCUAAUUCCAGACCGGUUAAUGCAAGAACUAUAAAUAAAGGACCAAGAUCCCCUAUGAAAUAUAAUUGAAUAUCAACGCCACAAAAGUUAGGACAAGGAGAGUAACAUGUAUUUUUUGAAAAUCAUAUAAAAAACAUUACAAAUUACAAUUGUUGACAAUUUAAAGUAUUUUUUUAAUUUUUUUUUAUAUAUUUUUAAAAAAUACUCAAAAAGAUACUACAAAUCAUAAUAAUUAAUAAUUUUAAAAAUUGUAAGGAUAUAAAUAUUUGGUUGACUAUAGAAAUUAUAUCAGUGCUACUUAAUUUGAAAUUAAAAAAGAUUAUAAAUCUCAAUAAUUUUAAAAGUUAAAUUAUUUUUAAAGUAUAAUUGGCUAUCGAUGCUACAAAAGUUUGAAUAAGGAGAGUAACAUGUAUUAUUUAAAAAUUACAUAAAAAAAUAUUAUAAAUUACGAUAAUUAACAAUUUAGAAUAUUCAAAGCAUACUAAAGAUAUGAUUGAUUAUCUAUAUUUUAUUUAUGUCACAUAAAUUGAGACUAAAAAAUAAUAUAUAUUGGGCCCGUGCCAACCUAUUUAAAUAAAUUUAUAUAUUCAAAUAUUGAAAAAUAAAUAACUUUAAUUAUUUAAUAUUCAUAUCUUAAUUACUUAGUAUUCUGGUAAAAUAUGUGUUACCACCAAACAAAUCUCAUCAUUUUGUGACUUAAUCUAUAAUAUAUUAAAAGUGUGAAGCCCGUUAAAAAGUGAUUUGAAUUUUUUAUCCUUCAUUAAAACACUAUACAAUAGACAAAAUCAUCUUUUCACUAUUUUCCUUAAUUUAUUAUUUAAUUAAAUUUUUAUUUUUUAAAGUCAAGAAAUCCUAAAUUAUACGGUAAAAGAAAAAUAUAUAGAGAAUUAAUAUUGGUAAAUUUUUUAUUUCCUUCUAUAUGUAAAAAAAGAGUCUUGAAAUAUUUGGUAGAAAAAAGAUCCUAAAAUAUAUAAUAAAGAGAAUAAGAAAAGAUUUAAUAGUAGAAAACUUUAAGUAAAAAAGAAAAAUAAAAUCUCACCUAAAGUUUUAGAAAAACCAUUAUACGUUUUCUUUUAAUGUUAUGAUUUUAAUUCCUUUAAGUAAAAAGGAAAAAUAAAAUGUCAACUAAAGUUUUAAAAAAACUAUUGUACGUUUUCUUUUAACGUUAUUAUUUUAAUUUCAAACUAUAUAUAUAUAUAUAUAUAUUUCUUUUCUAUAUAAUAGAAACACUAAUUUUGACCAAUGCUUCAUCAAUUGCUAUACUACCCCAAAUUAUUUCAGAAUUUACUAUAUUACUCCUAAUUAAUUAUUAUAAUUCAUUUAAAUAUUAGAAUUAAUAAUAUUUUUUUAUUAUAUUAUCCCUAAUUAAUUAUUGUAAGUCAUUUAUAUAUUAUAAUUAAUGAUAUUUAAUUAAAAAAUAGACAUUUAUGACUUUUGUUUCAGCUGCUUUAACUGUGAUUUUACUUUAUCAUCCCCAAUUAAUUAUUAUAAGUCAUUUAUGUAUUAAAAAAUUAAUAAUAUUUAAUUAAAAAAUUAGAUGACAUGUCUACCUAUAUUACCUCUAAUUGCCCCGUAAUUUAUUAUAUUACCCCUAAUUAAUUAUUAUAAGAAAUUUAUAUAUUAGAAUUAAUUAAUUAUUAUAAGUCAUUGAUAUAUUAAAAUUAAUAAUAUUUAAUUAAAAAAAUAUUUAUAACGUUUGUUUCAGCUCCUUUAAUCGUGAUUUUACUAUAUCAUUCUUAAUUAAUUAUUAUAUGUCAUUUAUGUAUUUAAAAAUUAAUAAUAUUUAAUUAAAAAAUAGAAGUUUAUGAUGUUUGUUUCAACAUCUUUAACCGUAAUUUUACUGUAUCAUCCCUAAUUAAUUAUUAUAAGUCAUUGAUAUAUUAAAAUUAAUAAUAUUUAAUUAAAAAAUAGAAGUUUAUGAUGUUUGUUUCAACAUCUUUAACCGUAAUUUUACUGUAUCAUCCCUAAUUAAUUAUUAUAAGUCAUUGAUAUAUUAAAAUUAAUAAUAUUUAAUUAAAAAAUAGAAGUUUAUGAUGUUUGUUUCAACAUCUUUAACCGUAAUUUUACUGUAUCAUCCCUAAUUAAUUAUUAUAAGUCAUUGAUAUAUUAAAAUUAAUAAUAUUUAAUUAAAAAAUAGAAGUUUAUGAUGUUUGUUUCAACAUCUUUAACCGUAAUUUUACUGUAUCAUCCCUAAUUAAUUAUUAUAAGUCAUUGAUAUAUUAAAAUUAAUAAUAUUUAAUUAAAAAAUAGAAGUUUAUGAUGUUUGUUUCAACAUCUUUAACCGUAAUUUUACUGUAUCAUCCCUAAUUAAUUAUUAUAAGUCAUUGAUAUAUUAAAAUUAAUAAUAUUUAAUUAAAAAAUAGAAGUUUAUGAUGUUUGUUUCAACAUCUUUAACCGUAAUUUUACUGUAUCAUCCCUAAUUAAUUAUUAUAAGUCAUUGAUAUAUUAAAAUUAAUAAUAUUUAAUUAAAAAAUAGAAGUUUAUGAUGUUUGUUUCAACAUCUUUAACCGUAAUUUUACUGUAUCAUCCCUAAUUAAUUAUUAUAAGUCAUUGAUAUAUUAAAAUUAAUAAUAUUUAAUUAAAAAAUAGAAGUUUAUGAUGUUUGUUUCAACAUCUUUAACCGUAAUUUUACUGUAUCAUCCCUAAUUAAUUAUUAUAAGUCAUUGAUAUAUUAAAAUUAAUAAUAUUUAAUUAAAAAAUAGAAGUUUAUGAUGUUUGUUUCAACAUCUUUAACCGUAAUUUUACUGUAUCAUCCCUAAUUAAUUAUUAUAAGUCAUUGAUAUAUUAAAAUUAAUAAUAUUUAAUUAAAAAAUAGAAGUUUAUGAUGUUUGUUUCAACAUCUUUAACCGUAAUUUUACUGUAUCAUCCCUAAUUAAUUAUUAUAAGUCAUUUAUAUAUUAGAAUUAAUAAUAUUUAAUUAAAAAAUAGAAGUUUAUGAUGUUUGUUUCAACAUCUUUAACCGUAAUUUUACUGUAUCAUCCCUAAUUAAUUAUUAUAAGUUAUUUAUAUAUUAAAAAUUAAUAAUAUUUAAUUAAAAAAAUCAGCUGCUUUGUCAUUUACUAUAUUAACCUAAUUGCUCGGUGAUUUAUUAUAUUACCCCUAAUUAAUUACUAUAAGUCAUUUAUUUAUUAGAAAUUAAUAAUGUUUUUUUUAUUAUAUUACCCCUAAUUAAUUAUUAUAAGUCAUUUAUAUAUUAUAUUUAAUAAUAUUUAAUUAAAAAAUAUAUAUUUAUGACAUUUAUUUCAGCUGCUUUAACCAUGAUUUCACUAUAUCAUCCCUAAUUAAUUAUUCUAAGUUAUUUAUGUAUUAAAAAAUUAAUAAUAUUUAAUUAAAAAAUAGAUGAAAUGUCUGCCUAUAUUAUCCCUAAUUGCUCCGUGAUUUACUAUAUUACCCUAAAUUAAUUAUUAUAAGUCAUUUAAAGUUAUUUAUGUAUUAAAAAAUUAAUAAUAUUUAAUUAAAAAAAUAUAUGACAUGUCUGCCUAUAUUAUCCCUAAUUGCUACGUGAUUUACUAUAUUACCCUAAAAUAAUUAUUAUAAGUCAUUUAUAUAUUAGAAUUAAUAAUAUUUAAUUAAAAAUUGAUAUUUAUGACGUUUGUUUCAGCUGCUUUAACCGUGAUUUUACUAUAUCAUCCCUAACUAAUCAUUAUAAGUCAUUUAUGUAUUAAAAAAUUAAUAAUAUUUAAUUAAAAAAAUAGAUGACAUGUCUGCUGCAGCUGCUUCAACCAUAAUUUUGCUAAAUAUCGCUUAUAAUUAAUUAUUAUGAGUCAUCUAAGUGUAAAAAAUUUAAUCAUAUUUUUUUAAAAAAAAUAGACACAAAAUGAUAAAUUAACUCUUGAUGUAUUAAAUUAAGUUGACCUCCUUCAACCGUGAUUUUACUGUAUCACCCAUAAUUAAUUAUUAUUAGUCAUUUAUGUAUUAAAAUAUUCAUAUUAUUUAAUUAAAACAUUGGUUUCGACAUGGCUGCUUCAAGAGCUGCGCCGUAAUUUUACUAUAUCACCCCUAAUUAAUUAUUAUAAGUCAUUUAUGUAUUAGAAAAUUAAUAGUAUUUAAUUAAAACAAGAAAAAUAUGUGUUUAUGACAUGUUUGUUGCAGCUGUUUCAACCAUAAUUAUCUUUGAGAAGAUGAUCCAAGACUUUGUGUUAAUUGAAGUAUCUUUUGUUCCAGUUUUUAUAUGAAAUAAUCUUAUGAAUAUUAGUUCUACAUCUUUUCUAUAUUUUGUAGCAGGUCUCAAUUUUAUCAUCAAACAAUUAAAAUAACCCGACUACACGACACAUUACACCUUUUUAUCAUGUGGAAAAAAACUAUCUUAUAAAACUUCACUCCUUAGCGAGUACCAUCAAAUAGUUAUUAUUUAAAAAAUUAUCGUUUUAAAUCAAUGUACAUUUAUGUUUGUAUCUCAUCAAUAUUGAAUAUUGGUGCUAAAAGAUGUCUAUAGUGUUGGAUCCGUGCUGACACGGGCCAUGCACCUCUUGUAUAUAUAUAUAUAUAUUAUAUUAUAAUCUAUUUAAAGUGUGAAGGGCGUUAGAAAUGUCGCUUGAACUUUUUACCCUUCAUUAAAAGUCUUUUCUUUAGAUAAAAAUCAUAUUUUGACUAUUUUUUUUAAUUAUUUAAUAGUUAAAAAUCAAUUAAAUAUAUUUAUGAUAAACCUUUAAAACUUUUUAAGAAGAUUUAAAAAGUCUAUAAAUUUACAUCUACAAUAUAUUAAAUCCAUUAACCAUUUGAAAUUUGUGAUGAUAAAAUAUACAUGUGCUUAUAAUAAAAUAUAUAUUUUAAACUUUUUACAAUUCAUUAAAAAAAUUAUCUAAUUUUAAAUAAUCAAAAGUUAAUUGCACGUGCAGCUAAACUAGUAAUUAUACAAAUUUCCAUUGACAAAGUGAGGAGUAUAUUCUUUCAAAUCCUCUAACCAAUUUACAGCGGAGUUGGUAGUCCAAAAUAUUUCAAGAAAACUUGUUUCUCUUGUCUUGUUUCCUUUUAAACCCUUUUGUCCACUCUUUACAUUUCUACUACUCAAUUCAUUUGUUCACCAUAUAUUACCUGCCUUGUCUCCAUCUUUUCUCAACUGGGUAUGCCUUCAAAUUUCACCUAAUUCUGUGCUUUCUUUAGGGUUUCUCAUUGUUUUCAUUAAAUUCAAUCAUUCUUUUCUUUGUGGAUUUACUUUUUUAAGUGUGUUCUUUAUAUGAGAUCCCAAUUCACUUUGUGGGGUUUUUAGUAUUUGAUAAUUUUACUUUACUGUAAGUGAUAUUAUUAUACUUUGUUGCUUUGUUAGAAUUACUAGCAUCAUCUGUUUUCUUUGUGGGUUUUCUUUAAUUCUGCUUAUUGUGUACUCAUUUGGAUCUUCCUUGUUACUGUUUUUUUUGGUGGAACUUAGUGUUUGGAAUUUAGAUUUGUUGUGCCCUUAAAUAAGUGGUGUUUUUAGUUUGAACACACCCUUAACCAAACUACUCAUUCCUAGAAAACAAAGAUUGUUUUUACUAACUUAUCCUUGAUAAAUACUUUGGAAAAGAUAGUACUCUUUAGUAGUUUCUUGCUUAUUUAAAACUCUUUUUAUUUAAAAGAAGUUAAAAAUGAAGGAACAACAUGAAUGUCUUCUUGAUUAUCUAAAGUACUACUUAUUUGGGAAUAAAAUCAAAAGGCUGAAAACCACUUAAUUUAGGAAUGGAGGGAGUAGGCGGACAUUGAUUAUAAAAGUUGGCGUGAAUUUCCAGGUUCAGUUUGUGAUUCUGUUAGUUUUUAGUGCUUUCUUGAUUUACUUUUGCGUUUGUUCUGAAUCUUGAUAGAGGCAAUGUCGCAAGGCUAUGCUAUUGAGCUCUACUUUGAUCCUGCACUGGAAAACCAGGUCCUGAAGGCCUGGAAUGUAUUGGCUCGGCGCCAGAUUAGCACUCAGCUUAUUGAGAUUGAGUCUAGACCUCACAUUACCCUCUUCUCGAGUCCCAAUUUUGAUCCAUCAAAGCUUGAGAACAUUGUAAAGAAUUUUUCGUCCAAGCAAGAAUCUUUGCCUCUGUCCUUUGGUUCAAUUGGAAGCCUCCCAAGUGAUGACAAUGUUCUAUUUCUUGCCCCAACACCAACUUUGUCUCUACUUCAGUUCCACUCACAGCUGUUUGAUGCUAUGAAAAAGGAGGGCAUUGAGAUUGCAGAUGAGCAUCGUCCUGAUACGUGGAUUCCUUAUUGCCCGGUAGCUGAAGAGGUGCCUAAAACUCGUAUGGGGGAGGCAUUCACUGUUUUGAGGGAUCUGAAAUUACCUGUUGCUGGAUAUGCAAUGGAAAUUGCACUUGUCGAGUAUCCUCCAGUUCGUGAAGCAUUUUCUUUUGUGCUUGGUAAUACAGUUGAACCUUGAGGUUUCAGACAUGUAAUUGUGUUGAUUUUAGUUUAGGCUUUUACCUUUCAUAUCCUAUAUAGUUGCUCUUGUAGAACCUGAUAUAGAUGGUUAAGAGUGUUAUUAUCGUUGCUAAAUGGUCAUCUGCUUUGAUGAAAUAUUAAGUCAUUUCUGAUUCUUUCCUAUUGUUCGUACUUGCAUUGAGAUGUUGAUCUCUUAUGUCAGUGUUGGUGAUAAUAACAUGCUUAUUUUUUUUUCUUAUCUAUGGGAAGUCUCUGGUCGACCUCUAUUAGCAUAGAAAUUUUAUUUGCUUCUGUGUUCUAUCUUAUAAAUCAUGAACAUUGUUUGGCUUACGUGUUCUACUUUGUAAGUCUUGAAUGUGGUUCCUUUCAUUCAAAUGUAAUAUGUUUUAGUUCUUGUUAAGUUUAGCAAGUUCGAAUCAUGUGAGGUAAAUUUGCUUUUGUUAAAUAAUGUUGAGUAUAAAACUUGCUUGCGUUUAAAAAUGUUCACUUAUACAUUACUGCAGUACACCUUCUAAUUUGCAAGUCUCAAAGAUCAUGUGCUUUCUUUAGAUUGUAAUAUAUCCUGGUGCUUGUUGAAUUUAAUAUGAUUGAAUCAUGUGAGGGGAGUACAGAAGCUACCAGUUUUGUAUGGUUGGUAAAUCAAAUAGUAUUUGGAGAAAACAUGAGGCAGAGUUGAUUGAUGUACUAGCUGAAUAAACUGGAUAAAAGACAAGAACAGUCCAUUAUGUUUGACGUUGGUUUUGACUAACCCUUUUUUUUUUUUUUUUUUUUUUUUUUUUUUUUUUUUUUUUUUUUUUUUUUUUUUUUUUUUUUUUUUUUUUUUUUUUUUUUUUUUUUUUUUUUUUUUUUUUUUUUUUUUUUUUUUUUUUUUUUUUUUUUUUUUUUUUUUUUUUUUUUUUUUUUUUUUUUUUUUUUUUUUUUUUUUUUUUUUUUUUUUUUUUUUUUUUAAAAUCAUGG
This 58056-nucleotide long non-coding RNA is filed under the name Capsicum annuum. RNAcentral describes it as "long non-coding RNA (CANN_LNC003584)". Lineage: Eukaryota; Viridiplantae; Streptophyta; Magnoliopsida; Solanales; Solanaceae. The record is from RNAcentral.